GAUGAUGAAGAUGUUGGCAUCGAGUAUACGGUGUAUGAUCCCAACGUUGACUAGAAAGAGAUGAGGCCCUGAUGGAGUAUUGAUGGAACGGUAGAUGAUGGAGACAAACAAUACAGUCCAUGGACGAUACUAGCUUAAUUUUGAAAAAAAAUGACAAAUUGAGGGUUAUAGCUAAGUGUGGUGGUGGAAGGAGUGACAAUAAAAAAAAAUGCAGUGUCCAUUUAAGGUUGCAGUUCGAUGGAAAUACAAUGAAAGGACAUUCCAGAUUAAAUUAUGUAAUGAAAUUCAUCAGUGUGCUAGAAAUUGUCAAUUUGGUUGCCUACUUCAACAUAUCAUCGGGUUGUAGCUAUUAACCACAGGUGCGGGUGUUAACCUAUAUAGACCAAUACAUAUCUUUCCUAUCAUGUCAACUAGUUAUGAUCUUAUCUACCAUAGUGAUUUAGAAUAACAACUAGGUAUAAUAUUAGAUAAAGAGUUUAGGCAAAGUAGCUAUCGGGCAUAAUAUCAUCCUAAAGUUAUGAGCAUAAUUAUCCAGCUACAAUUAGUAAUAACUAUGUAAAGUUGCAUUCUAUACAUGUAUCCCCCCCCCCCCUCGAAAAGGUUUGGAAAAUGGGGCCGUGAAAUCAACUCUGAGUUAUGAAAACAUUGUGGUAGGGUAUAAAUCACAACUUCGCACUUCUCGAGAUGCUCGGGUGGUAGCACGCAGAACAAUAUAGAGAGAAAACAUAAGAGAGGGAUGAGGAAAUGAGUUGCCAAAACUUGUUAUUGAUAGCAAGUUUUGGAGUGUGCGUCGUGAAAGUGUGUGUGAACCGUAUGAUGCUACCAUAUGUCCUCAUAUCAGCGUGUCACGUCCUCGUAUAUCUCCACGUAUUGGGUGUUAGUAUAUGCAGCGCACUACGCACCAGCGCGUGCGACAGUAAAAAUGAACUUUUGAAAUUCCCUAACUCUCACAUAUGAACUUCGUCCUUAACGAAUCUUAUAUAUCCGUGUAUGUCUCGUCAUUCUCUACAACUUUCCUUUUGGUUGUUUUGUCUAGUUUUGACUUUCAUUUUUCGACGUGUUUUUAUUACCGUUAUAAUUUUAUAAAAAUCAUAACUCCUUCAUAUGACGUUCGUUUUAGGCGUCUCUUGCCUCAUAAUUCCUACUUUUUUAAUAUUAUGAUUGCCUAGUCGGUGACUUUUUCCAAAAUUUGACCAAUCUCCUUGUAGUUUUUGCCGUCGAUACUUUUUUAAGUAUGGUAGAUAUUUAUUUACCAUAAAUACCAUAUCUCACCCAUACCGUGUCAGAUUCGUACAAAAAUUAUAUUUCUAGAAUCAAGGUAACCUAUACAGUCUAAAUAUGUUAACAUGUUCCCAAAGUGACACGACUUUUUGCACACUUAUUUUUUAGCCUAAUGUUUGAUGUAAUUAGGGAUGGAAAAUUCAAAUAUAUUAAAACAUAUUGUGUGAUUACAAGAAUGUCCUUUUCACAUUUUUAUGUCAUAUCGUUAAAUAUAACUGCGGUUGGUGACGUAAUCUCUGGGUAGUCACAUCCUCCCCCCAUUAAAAGAAAUUUUGUCUUUAGAUUUAGCAUGUAGCUAGGAUGUUUUUAAAUAAAUGGGGAUACUCAUUCCUCAUUUAAUCUUCGUGUUCCCAUGUGUAUUUCGUUCCUUGCUUAGAGUUCCAUCGUACCUUGACUAUGGGAAUGCCUCUUUGCAUAAGUCUCUUGACUUUGUGAUGCAUGAUCUCAGUUGGUUCAACGAUAAAGUUGAGUUUUGUGUCAAUCUAGAUUUCAUCGAGAAGCAUAAUUGGCGUGUCUUCAAAGAGACAUUUCUUAAGGUUUGAAACAUGGAAGACGUUGUGUAUGCUGUUGAGCUCUUGGGAAGAGCAAGAUGGUAGGCUAUUGGGCCUAUUUUGGCAAGGAUCUUAAAAGGUCCUAUUUAUCAUUGAUUGAGUUUACAACUCUUUCCAAAUCUUAUAACUCCUUUCUAAGGAGAUACUCUUAUCAUGACUCUAUCUGCAACUUGGAAUUCAAGUGGUUUUUGUCGAAAGUUGCCGUAUUUCUUUUAACGAUCAUGAUCCAUCCUCAAUCGCUCCUUAAUUCUCACGAUCUUCCCGGUUGUUUCGUGAAUGAUCUCAGGUUCAGUUAGCAAAGUGUUCCCAACAUGUUUCUUUUCUAGUUGGGUAUCACCAACUUCUGCCCAGCACAACGGUCAACAAAACUUUCUACCAUAAAGUGCUUCAUAUGGUGCAGCGUUUAUACUUGUGUGAUAACUACUAUUAUAGGAGAACUCAACCAAUGGUAGGUAAGCAUCCCAUGCAUCUCCAAAGUCUAUCCCACAUGCUUUGAGCAUAUCUUCCAUGGUUUGUGUGGUCCUCUCCCUUUGACCAUCUGUCUGCAGAUGGUAAGAGGUACUCAUAUCGAGUCAGGUUCCUAGUUCCCAUUAAAUUGUUUCCAGAACUUGGACAUAAAUCGGUGGUCUCUCUGUGAGAUGACCAAUGUUGGUACACAGUGUAGCCGGACUAUCUCCUUGACAUAAUUUCUAGACAACUUUUUCAUUUUGUCCAUUUUUUAAUGGGUUGGAAAUAGGUUGACUUCGUCAAAUGAUCGAUUACUAACCAAAUCGUGCCAUAGCUUCUAGCUGUUUUGUGUAGUUUUGUGAUGAAGUCCAUGGCAACUUGCUCUCAUAUACAUUCGGGUAUUGUGGGUUAUUGCAGCAAACCCGAAAAUUUUUGGUAUUCUGCCUUAACCUUAGCGUAAGUCAAUCAUUUUCUCAUGAAGGUGGCGAUUUAUGCCUUCAAGAUCGGCCACCAAUACCUUUUUUAAGUCAAGAUACAUCUUAUCAUAUCCUGGGUGAACUAAUUAUCUUGUCUUGUGAGCUUCGUCCAGUACCUAACUUCUGAUGUUGCCAAAUUUUCGUACCCAAAUUCGGUCCAUGAAACACGAGGUUCCAUUAUCUUUGGACUCGAAUUGCUUUUCCAUACCGCGUAAGCAUUCUUUCGCCUUGUUUUCUUCCUUAAGUGCCUUUACUUGGGCUUCUCGAAUUUGGAUAGGAAGGUUUAACUGGAUAGUUAGAGUGAGAGCCUUCACUCUGUGAGGUUUGACUCGUUCCUUUCUACUUAGGUCAUCUGCUACUACGUUAGCUUUUCUUGGGUGGUAUCGAAUCUCACACUCGUAGUUGUUCAGCAGCUUAACCCAUCUUUAUUAUCUCAUGUUAAGUUCCUUUUGUUUGAAGAUGUGUUGAAGACUUUUAUGUUCUGUGUAUAUGACAUACUUUGUGCCAUACAAGUAGUGUCACCAGAUCUUCAAGGUGAAAAUUAAAGCUCCCAAUUCCAAUUCAUGGUUGGUGUAAUUAUUCUCGUGAGUUUUGAGUUGGUGAAAAUCUUAAGCGAUCACUUUGUCUCUUUGCAUAAGUACGCAUCCCAUGCCCUGAUGUGAUGCGUUGCAAUUGACAAUGAAGUCUUCAGUUCCUUCUGAAAGUGAAAGAAUCGGUGCACCCCACAGAAUGUGUUUCAAUCUCUAAAACUCAUAUUCUUUCCACUAAAACUUCAAAUCUUCAUGUAUGAGUAUCAACAGGGGUUUUGCUAUCUUUGAGAAAUUUUCAAUAAAUCUAAUGUAAUAGCCUGAGAAUUCUAGAAAUUUACGCACCUCCGUUGGCGUCGUGGGUGCUUCCUAAUUCUUUAUGGAUUUAAUCUUGGAAGGAUCUACGUGAAUACCCUUGUCACUAACCAUGUGUCCUAGAAAGUGUACUUCCCUAAGCCAAAAUUCACACUUCAGGAACUUUUCGUACAAUUUCUCUUUUGUCAACAACCAAAAUGAUUCGAAGAUGUUGCUCGUGUUCCUCCUCUAUUCAUGUGUAUAUUAAUAUUUCAUCAUUAAAUACGAUCAUAAUUUGCAAAGGUAUGGCUUACAAACACAGUUUGUGCAAUCCAUGAAGACUGAUUAAGCAUUAGUGAAGCCAAAAGGCAUAACUAGGAACUCGUAGUGGCCUUAUCGAGUUCUAAAUGCCAUCUUCGGAAUGUCCUCCUCUAGAACUCGAAGUUGAUGGUACCCUAACCUUAAAUCAAUCAUUGAUUAAAUUUUGGAUCCUUGGAGUUAAUCGAACAAAUCGUUAAUCCUUGGGAGUGGAUAUGUGUUCUUGAUCAUCAACUUAUUUAGUUCUUGGUAAUUGAUGCACAUUCUGAAGAUUCCAUCCUUCUUAUUAAGGAAUAGCACCAUGGUUCCCUAGGGUGAGACACUUGGUGUUAUAAAGCCUUUAUCUAGAAGCUCCUGAAGCUGACUGGACAACUCUUGUAUUUUCGAAGGACAACUCUUGUAUUUCCGAAGGGACUAAUCAGUAGGGAGAUUUUGCCACUGUAGAUGGCCCUAGGACUAGGUCAAUUCAAAAUUCAACUUCAGGAAUUGGCGGUAGUAUGGGCAAGUCCUCCGUAAAUACCUCGGGAAAACAUCACAUAUUUGGGGUAUGUCCUUAAUUUCCUUCUUCUUUCCCUUCUUGUAUGCGAUGUGCACCAAGAAAGUGUCAUACUUCUUCUAAAGGUAUUAAUGUGCCUUCAUGCAGGAGAUGAUUUUGAGGCUUUUGUUGGUCUUAUCUUCGUAUAUUACCUAUGAUUCCCCAUUGGGUAAUAGUAGUUGUACUUCCUUGUCGUAGUAUAAGAUCUCAUCUUUGUGUGCAGAUAACCAAUCCAUACCAACGAUGACAUUGAAGCUACCGAUGGUCAUGGUCAUGUGCUUGACGUGAAAAGUAAGGUUAUUGAGAGUUAGGAGGCAGUUUUCUAGUAUUUCCUGACCACUACCGGAUUCACCAUUGGCCAUUUCUAUUAUAUAAGGCUCAUCUAAGUUCCUAGACUUAUAGAUUAAAAGUUUUCUAAACAUAGGUCUAAUACAAAUUCUUUCAGCACCAGAAUCAAAGAGUACAUAUGUGUAUAAAUCGUGAACAGGAAAAGUACUUGUCACAACGGUAAGGUCCUGAAUGGCAUCCUUUGCACCAAUCACAAACGUGCUUCCCUUUGCGUUUCUUCCCUCAUUCCUCAACUUUUGGUCAGUUCCUUCUGAGGUAACCAACAAUCCUUUACUCAAAGUAGGCUCGAUUAUCUAGCAAGACAACCAUGACUGGGUUGGUUGCGGUGGUAGGAAUAGUCGCAGGUUGUCGGUACUAUUUCCAGGAUGUCCUCUGUGAUUGCACCAGGUACAAUGCAUGUAGUUACCAGAGUGGUGGAAGUGACAUGAGUUGCACUUGGGAUGUGAGAACUACAGUUAGUGCAGGGCCGCAUUGAUGGCAUAUGCUUUGACAGUUUUCUUUCUUUUGUUGGGAACUUGCUUGGAGUCACCCUUAAAUCUGCUUUUCGAUUUGCGUUUGUUUUCCCUUGUCCUCGGGAUGUCGGUUUUAUGGACCAACAUGUUGUUGGAACAGUGUCUAAGGCUGCAACUAUAUUAGCCAAGUAUUUGACCCGAUUGUGCAUGGUCCUUUUGGGUUGCCUUCACCAUAGCAACUUGAUAGGAUGAUUUAUUAAGAGAGAAUAAAUAUUAUUAAUAUAUUAUGAGAAUAAUAUAAAGAAUAAUAAUAUUGUUAUUUGAUUAAUAUAAUUCAUAAAUUAAUUGGUAUUAAUUUGGUGACUUAAAGAGAUUAAUUAAAUAAGAGGGUAUAAACUGUCAAUUGUUUGAUAGUUAAACUUUAGACUGUAAAUCCUUAUUGGAUAGAGAAUGGACGAAUUCUAGAAGCUAGGGAUAGCUUAAAAUCAUCCAAGGUUAUCUAAGGAAAGGAUAUGGAUUGCUUUAAGAGAAUAUUAUCCAACUAGGGUUUAAGUUGUAACCCUUAAGGGGUCUACAAGUAUAAAUAGACCCUAUGGCAAAGGGAAAUAAGCACCUCAUUGAAAGUAGAGAAUCCCUGGCCGAAUUUCCUCCCCUUUCCUCUCUCUCAAAUCAUCCUCCUUGCUAUUUGGUGUUUGUAAGCCAUUAGAGGAGUGACAUUUGUGACUCUAGAAGCUCCAAGACCUCAAGAUCAACAAGGAACUCAAAGGUAUGAUUCUAGAUCUGUUUUAAUGUUCUUGUUUAACCUAAUUAGUAAUUAGAAGUCUUGGAUUCAAAGCAUGUUUAUUAGAAAGCCUAGAUCCAAGCAUUAGGGUUUUGCAUGCGCACAUAGGAAAGUUCUUAUGGCUAAAACCCAUCAGUGGUAUCAGAGCCUAGCUUGGUUUUCUGUAAAUUGUUGCUUGAUUAACUGAAACAAACCUGCAAAAUUCGAAUUUUUGGUUUCUGAGUCAUGGACUCGGCGAGUCUCAAAGUGGACUCGGCGAGUAGGCCUGACUCGGCGAGUCCAUUUGUGCACUCGGCGAGUCCAGGCGUCAGGAAUGGCCAGAUUCGGGAUUUCUUUGUGUUUAUCUUAUCUUAACUUACCAUAAACUAAUUAGAUCAACAUUAAUUCGUUUUUCUGAUAAAUAUAACUAUUAUCUUGAUCUAGUUAAAGGUAAUUAUCAACUAAUUAAAUAUUUAAUUUCCUUAUAUGAUAAUUAAUUAAUUAUUUUGAUUAUUUUGGUAAUUAUCUUUAAAAGAAAUCUUGAAUAAAUCAAAUAUAGAUAAUUAGGAUAUUAAUUGUUAAUUGGAAUUAUUUGUUAUUUGAUCCUCCAUGUUUUAAAUGUUUAAAACCUACCCUCAUGUUUUGAAAUUUACUUUUGUGAUUAAAAGUUUUAAUUUAGACAACUUAAAUUUCAAACCCUAGAUUUUAAAAGUUUUAAAAUACAACCCUAUACUAAUAUGAUAUUACUAGAAUAAUAUAUAUAUGUAUAACUAAAUGCUAGUCUUACCGUUAGUAGGCCUCAUUCACGAAGCCGAUCUAUAAGGUGGGUAUAAGGUUGCGGCCUAUAAAAUGGCGCUUAAUGGGUGUACACUCACACCCACCGCUUGCUUGAUUGGUGGAGGGUCGUUAGCCGAACGGGUAGGAUAGGGCAACCUCAUCCUCUCAUUAAAAGUAUAAUAAGAAAUAUAAAGUAACUACACAUUUUUUUAAAAUUUCCCAAUCCUAGUUACUUUAGGAAAAGUGAAUUGAUGCAAUCCCAUGAAAUUACACUUUGCACCUUGCUAAGAUGUUAGUGGAGCGUGUGUGGUUUACCGGCACACUAAUUGGUUCUAAGCGAAGGUGGCAAAGGGUGAUUCAUUGUUUAUCAUAGUUCGAUGGAGCGUGUGUGGUUUACCGGCACAUCGAAUAGGUGAUUGUUACAAUGAAGGCACCAUGUGAAUUUGCAUGGUAAUUCACACCCGCUUUGUGAUCCUCGGCAUCCCAGUCACAAACAAGAGGGGCAUAUCGAGAUUUAAACAUGCCAUUGAAUAGUUUCAAUGAAUCUCAUCCGAACCUAGGAAUUCUCAAAAACACUUAGGACUAAUAGUUUAAGUUUUGUGAUGGAGAAUUAGUGAAUCGUCAUUCACUUACCUUCAAUUUAUUUGCAUGUUAGAUUACGGCAUCCCUUUUCUAGUAUGUAAAUGUUAUUGUUGGAUCCUAGCCCUAAUUUUCUUAUUGGGUGAUAAUUAGGGAUUCUUAUUCUAAUCUAUCUUUGUCCUUUUCUAAUUGUAGAUGUCGAACGCAAACAACGCUGCUGCUAGUUCUUUCACGUUGAUGAGCCUUUGCCAAAAGGUCACCUUCGAUGGAACGAACUUUAGCGAAUGGAUAAGAUACAUUCGCACCAUUGCUCGCUAUGAGGAUAAGGAGUAUGUCCUCGAUGAGAAGCUCGAGAAAAUCAACCCCGAAAUUGCUACUCCCGCCGAAAUCACCGCCUUUGAAACUCAUGAGCGAGAUGCAACGAAGGUACAUUGCAUCAUGAUCGCCACCAUGAACUCCGAAUUCCAAAAGUCCUACGAGGACAUGUACCCGUACGAGAUGCAUCAAGACUUAUUGGAGAGGUACCACCAAAACGCGAGACAAGAGAGGUACGAGAUUUUCACUAACAUGAUUUCCGCGAAGAUGGGUCAUGGAGAAUCUCUUACCGUGCACUUGCAAAAGAUGCAAAGGUAUGUUGACCGCCUCCGCAAGUUAAAUGUUGACUUCGGUGAAGACUUGGCGAUCGACAUGGUGCUUCACUCUUUGCCUCCGAUGUACAACCAAUUUAGGAUGACCUACCACAUGAACAAAGAAGAGGUCACCCUAAGCAAGCUCCAAGGUCUCUUGAGGGUUGCUGAGAGCAACUUCAAGGACAAGUCUGUUGCACCUACUCCCAAUCCGCCCGCUGCUCCUGUCUUGGCUAUUGGACAAGGGAAGGGAAAGAAGAGGAAAGCUUCAUCGAAGAACUAUCGCAAGGUGAAAGCCCGAGAUGGUGCCUCUUCUAGUGGGACCAAAGUUGAUCCCGCCAAGCCCUGCUCUAACCCGAAGGAGGCAGAGUGCCACCACUGCCACAAGAUAGGACAUUGGAAGAGAAGCUGCCCGGAUUACCUGCAAGCAAUCAAAGAAGGAAAGAUCAAGCCAUCUUUCGCAGGUAUAUAUACAAUCAAAUCUAACGAUUCUAAUCAUGCUAUUUCUUGGGUUCUUGAUACCGGUUGUGGUUAUCACAUUUGUUCUAAUGUGCAGGGACUAAGAAGAAGUAGGGAUGUGGAGCAAGGAAGGAUCAAUCUAAUCAUGGGGAACAGAAGAUCGUCGCCUGUGACCAAGAUUGGAGUGUAUUCUUUAGUGCUUAGGAAUAGUUUGGUUUUAGAUUUGAACAAUUGUUGCUAUUCGCCAGAAAUGGCUAGAAACAUCAUUUCAUUUCAUGGUUUAUAUAGACAAGGAUUUAGAUUUUCUUUUAAUAAUGAGAAUGGUUCUAUUUUGGCUUAUCUAAAUGGUGUCUUUUACUUUGAAGCUAUACCAUGUAAUGGAAUAUAUGAAACCGUUAUGAUUGUUGAUAACUUAGGAAAUGAUGUUUUGAAUAUUGAUUCUUCCACUAGUAUGGAUAAAGCAUCCUUGUGGCAUUGUCGUCUUGGACAUGUCAACAAGAAACGCAUAGCCCAACUCCAAAAGGAUGGAGUGUUGGAGUCAUUCGACCUUAGGGAAGAUGACACAUGCGAGUCUUGUUUGCUUGGAAAGAUGACUAAGUCACCCUUCACGAGUACAUGUGAAAGGGGCGAGGGUCUAUUGGACCUAAUACAUACCGAUGUAUGUGGACCGUUUAGAUCAACCACGAAGGAUGGGAACCGCUUCUAUGUGACUUUUACCGAUGACUAUAGUAGAUAUGGGUAUAUCUACUUAAUCAAGCAAAAGUCAGAAACCUUUGAAAAGUUCAAAGAGUUCAAGAAUGAAGUGGAGAAUCAAUUGGGCAGGAAAAUCAAGAUGCUUCGAUCCGAUCGAGGAGGAGAGUACCUAAGUCUUGAAUUCCACGAUUAUCUCAAGGAGUGUGGAAUAGUUUCGCAAUUGACGCCUCCUAGGACACCGCAGUUGAAUGGUGUGGCAGAAAGGCGUAAUCGAACCUUAUUGGAUAUGGUUCGCUCUAUGAUGAGUCGUGCUUCACUACCUAUCUCUUUUUGGGGGUAUGCCUUAGAGACUGCCGCCCAUAUCCUUAACCGAGUCCCUACUAAGAAGGUUGCCAAAACACCUCACGAGAUGUGGACAGGGAAAGCUCCCUCGUUGGCACAUAUCAAGGUUUGGGGUUGCGAGGCUUUCGUAAGACGAGAUACUCACGACAAGCUUGAACCUCGAAGUGAGCGAUGUAUUUUCAUCGGCUACCCGCAGACAUCCUUUGGAUAUCUCUUCUAUAGACCGAAGGACAAUGUUGUCUUCGUUGCGAGGAGAGGAGUUUUCCGAGAGCGAGAACUCAUAAGCCAAGGAGACAGUGGGAGGCAAAUCGAGCUUGAAGAGAUUCAAGAGUCGAUAGAUGAAGGAACCUCUACCGCUGGCACUCAACCCGAGGAGGAAACUCCGGUUGAACCGAUUGACGAAUCCUUACCUCUUAGACGUUCCGAUAGAGUUAGAGUUCAGCCCCAGUUUUAUGGUUUUCAUAUUACUACCGAAGGGGACACGUAUAUUAGUGAUGGUACACUAAUAAAUCUUGAUGAAUCGGUGUGUAGAUUGUCUAAAUGGUAUUAUCCGGAGUCUGUAAAGUGGAAAGAGGCAAUGGAUAGCGAGAUCCAAUCCAUGUAUGAUAACCAAGUUUGGAAUUUGGUUGAUUACGUGCCCGGACGUAAGACCGUUGGGUGCAAAUGGAUCUUCAAGAAGAAGACCGACGUGGAUGGNNNNNNNNNNNNNNNNNNNNNNNNNNNNNNNNNNNNNNNNNNNNNNNNNNNNNNNNNNNNNNNNNNNNNNNNNNNNNNNNNNNNNNNNNNNNNNNNNNNNNNNNNNNNNNNNNNNNNNNNNNNNNNNNNNNNNNNNNNNNNNNNNNNNNNNNNNNNNNNNNNNNNNNNNNNNNNNNNNNNNNNNNNNNNNNNNNNNNNNNNNNNNNNNNNNNNNNNNNNNNNNNNNNNNNNNNNNNNNNNNNNNNNNNNNNNNNNNNNNNNNNNNNNNNNNNNNNNNNNNNNNNNNNNNNNNNNNNNNNNNNNNNNNNNNNNNNNNNNNNNNNNNNNNNNNNNNNNNNNNNNNNNNNNNNNNNNNNNNNNNNNNNNNNNNNNNNNNNNNNNNNNNNNNNNNNNNNNNNNNNNNNNNNNNNNNNNNNNNNNNNNNNNNNNNNNNNNNNNNNNNNNNNNNNNNNNNNNNNNNNNNNNNNNNNNNNNNNNNNNNNNNNNNNNNNNNNNNNNNNNNNNNNNNNNNNNNNNNNNNNNNNNNNNNNNNNNNNNNNNNNNNNNNNNNNNNNNNNNNNNNNNNNNNNNNNNNNNNNNNNNNNNNNNNNNNNNNNNNNNNNNNNNNNNNNNNNNNNNNNNNNNNNNNNNNNNNNNNNNNNNNNNNNNNNNNNNNNNNNNNNNNNCAACUAUAUUAGGCAAGUAUUUGACCCGGUUGUGCAUGGUCCUUUUGGGUUGCCUUCACCAUAGCAACUUGAUAGGAUGAUUUAUUAAGAGAGAAUAAAUAUUAUUAAUAUAUUAUGAGAAUAAUAUAAAGAAUAAUAAUAUUGUUAUUUGAUUAAUAUAAGUCAUAAAUUAAUUGGUAUUAAUUUGGUGACUUAAAGAGAUUAAUUAAAUAAGAGGGUAUAAACUGUCAAUUGUUUGAUAGUUAAACUUUAGACUGUAAAUCCUUAUUGGAUAGAGGAUGGACGAAUUCUAGAAGCUAGGGAUAGCUUAAAAUCGUCCAAGGUUAUCUAAGGAAAGGAUAUGGAUUGCUUUAAGAGAAGAUUAUCCAACUAGGGUUUAAGUUGUAACCCUUAAGGAGUCUACAAGUAUAAAUAGACCCUAUGGCAAAGGGAAAUCGGCAUCUCAUCUCAAGUAGAGAAUCCCUGGCCGAAUUUCCUCCCCUCUCCUCUCUCUCAAAUCAUCCUCCUUGCUAUUUGGUGUUUGUAAGCCAUUAGAGGAGUGACAAUUGUGACUCUAGAGCUCCAAGACAACAAGAUCAAACAAGAGAUUCAAAGGUAAACUUCUAGAUCUUAUUUUGUAUUGUUCUUAUACCUAAUUAGUCAUUAGAAGUCUUGGAUUCAAAGCAUGUUUAAUUAGAAAGCCUAGAUCCAAGCAUUAGGGUUUUACAUGCGCACAUAGGAAAGUUCUUAUGGCUAAAACCCAUCACAUGUCUCAUCUUAUUUGCCGUUUGGUCAGGAUAUAAGCCAAUCUUUUCGCACUAUCAUAUGUCGAUGGUCAUGAAGCGAUGGCCAACCCUUGAAUGGGCUGAACCAAUCCCUAUAUGUACCUUUAAAAUUUCUUGUACUUAUGUCUCACAAUGUUUGGGUAAAAGUUAGUGAAGUCAUUGAACCGGUUGGUGUAAUUCGAGAUGUCGAUGUCACUCAUGGUCAAGUUCCACAUCUCUUGCUCCAGUUCUUACAUCUCCUAUCGAGGAUAGUAUUCCUCGAUAAGCAUCUGUUUCAGUUCAUCAUGAGUUAAGGCAUUAGCACUUGUGAGACUCAUGGGCUUGACAUGGCCAUUCCACCAACACAUAGUCGUGUCUGCAAAAGUCAAACCGAUGAACUUAACCUUGCUUCCCUCGACGCAAGAAUGGAUCUCAAAGACAGACUAUGUCUUCUCAAUCCACCUAGUAAGGCCUCCAACUACCAUGUUCCCAUAAAACGUCCUAGGUUUGUAGUACAUAAAGUAUUUGUAGGUGCACACACUUUAUGCACCUUUCUCGUUUACUUGGGAGCCUUCACUUCCAGUUCUCGAGUUUGUGUGACGAUCAUUCCCGAAUGCUGCUAGUUCCUCGGUUAUUCUUUGCUCGACCUUUUCCUAAAUAGCCACGUGAUCUAGAGGUGGGUUAAUUUGUGCAGACUGAGCAUCCUGUACAGCUUGGAGUCCUUUGCUAGAUCUGGUAAUUCUUGGGGGUGCAAUUUCUAGAUUCCUAAAGUUAACGUCGAUAUGUGACUUAAUUAGUUGGAAUUAGUAAGUUUGUACUUUCAUGGUUAGGUCGUGGUGUAUUAGUGUUGGUGAUGGAAACAACCAUAGCAACACAGAUUCCAUGAAAACAUAUAAGAAUGCCAUGCAUCAUAUAUUAUACAAAAACUAUCAAAACAUAAGGGCGGUUUUAGGAUAGGAAAAUCUUUAGGGUUACAAAACAUGUGUGUGUGAGCCUUUCCCCGUAUUCCAACCCAAAAAUAAAAGUAUCAGUAUCCCUCCUAGCCAUCAUACUAGGACAAAAAAAAGAAAACUAGAAUCCACAAUAUACUAUCAAGAGAGCCAUCAGCUCGACUAACUGUCUAUAUACAAACUCUAAACAAACAUCAAAAGGAGAAACAUGUGACUUCAUCCUCUCCACCUAAAGCUCUGAUCAGUCCAUGUGGCAGACAACCUCCUCUACCCCUGAAGACGGAACUAGGCUUCAUCUCGUGCCUCCUGCAGCUAAUCAUGGACUAGUAAGGUCUGCAUUUCCAUUACGUCCAUCUCCUCCUCCAAAUAUUAUAGCCUCUUUGUGAGCUUCAUCAGGGUCAUACUCAAUAUGAACAUCUUAGAUUCCAUUGCUUCAAGGCGGUCUAAGUGACGGGCGGUACGAGGCACCAAAAGAGAAAUAGCCUACUUAAUAGGAUUAUUUGAGGUAGGACGAGGUGUGGUAGAUGAUUACCCACCUUGAAUCGUGAGCAAAUAUCCUCUUCCUCCCUCCAGGCUUGUAUUUGCGGUAUCCAAGUGGCAUCUCAAUCGGGUUUCUUUGUAGGUGGUAGUGAUGUUGGAGGGGACUCCACUCUCUUCCGAUAGGGAGCGACAACCGUCUUCCUCAGGGUUUGCUCCACCCAAUUACCCGUGUACUUCCUGUAAGAUCUAUGUGAAGGAGUGGGAGGAGGUGGUGAGAUCUCUUGUGAGGUAUCAGUGUCCUCCUUUUCCUUAUCGGGCUCGUACUCAGAACUGAGAAGAUAUAUCCUUGCCGGUGUAUAGUUUGGUGAAAGAGUUGGCUUUGAUAGGUGCCCAGUCAAAGUAUAAUUGGGCUCUGUGUCAUCACCGUCCUCCAGGUAUCGACAGGGUCGAAGUUAACAAGUACAUCACAUUCCUCCUCUGAUGAGGAAGCUACCCUCCACAAUCCAUCUCCUGCCAUGCUCUCGACAAAUCCGCAUAAGAUAUCAAACAGGAAAGAUGUAUAUAAUAUAUGUAAAGAUCAAUUAAAUACUAUAUAAUAUCCAGUUAUAAAAGAUAAAAGUUGUAACUCCCGAGUCCCCCUACUAUGUCGUAAGUUAGUGGUUCCUAGGGCAAGAAAUCCUCGAGAGUCGAUGUUAUUGAGUCAAAAAUCUCCAAAUGUAAAAGUCUCUAAAACAAAUCCAUGAGUAGUCAAGAAGUAGGGUAAUUAAUGUAAAUACUAAUUUAUUAGGUUUAAAGGGUUAAACCUAAUCAGAGUGUAGCCCUAGAUUAUAUAUGUAUUUCCUAAAGGAUUACUAGUUCACUAUAAUCUAUAGCUAUAAUAUCAAUUAUUCAUACCCCUGGCUGGCAACGGAAGCGUCAAGCUGUGCAAACUUAGGAUAUUCAGAUUUCAUGCCAAAGAUAUAAAUUGAGAAAUACACAGGAUGUAUUAAACAAAAUAGCAAUUUACUCAUUAAAUAAAAUAUGUUACAUAGUUGUUCAAGGUACAAGUAGGUUACCAAAGCAAAGUAGAAAAAUUAAAGCACAUAGACUUCGGGCUGCAUCACCGGGGUUAUCUCCUCCUUCAGACAUGUUCAUUCUCCUGAGAAUACGUGUCAUUUGAGAGGUCAACAUAAUGUUGGUGAGUCCAUAGGUUUAUGAUUCUUAAAGUGUGGGUGUUUUAGUUUAUCUUGUUUAUCCUAAACUUGCUUCCUUAAGUUUGUGUGUACUAUCACUACUUUCGUAGGUUGGUUCCUAGAAGUAAUCUAUGAUAGGUAGUUUUAUUUUACCAAAGUUACGAUGAGUUCUUAUAACCGAUCUAUGACGGUUGAUCCAAAAAAAACCAGGACGCUUCAUCGGACGUUGUUGAGUUUAGAAAGUUAUGUCUGCUUCGACAUGUUGUCAGGUUGUAGCUAGCAACCAUAGGUAGGGGUGUCAACCCCGUAUAAAUCUAUACAUAUCUAUCCUUCCCACUUAAGAUUUAACGAUUAUAGGUCGGGAGCUAGAUGAAAAUAUAUCAGCGUGUUAUUGAAUCAUGUCUCAUCUAACUCUUGUUGUAGUGGCCUCCCAUGGUCGGUCGUUAUGUUAUUCGUAUUUUAUUUUUAUAGUUUUACUUAUUUUAUAUAUAUAUAUAUAUAUAUAUANNNNNNNNNNNNNAUAUAAUUAGUGUGUUUUGCGUAACCCAGUGUUUGGGCAGAGUAAUACUAGGUACUAAGCUUAUCUGAAUGGUGGUUAAAAUAAUAAGAUUCAACGUUUCUUGGCAACUGGCCAGUGUGACAACUAGGUGUGAUCAUAUCUAUCAUAGUGGUUUAGCAUAACAACUACCCAUAAUAUUAGGUAAAGAGUUUGGGCAGAGUAGCUACCGGGCAUAAUAUCAUCCUAAUGUAAUGAGCAUAAUUCUCUAACUAUAAUUAGUAAUAACUAUGUAAAGGUUCAUUUUAGGCAUGUAUUCCCCCCGAAAAGGUUUGGAAAAUGGGGCUGUGAACUCACUCGUGAGUUAUGAAAAUGUUGUGGUAGGUUAGAAAUCACAAGUUCACACUUUGAGAUAUGUUUGAGGCGGUGGCACACGGAACGAUAUAGAGAGAAAACUGAAGCAGGGAAUGAGGAAUUGAGCUGCCGAAACUUGUUAUUUAUAGCAAGUUUUGGAGUGCAUGCCAUAGAAUUGCAUGUGAAUCAUACAAUGCUGCCACGUGUCCUCAUCUCAGAGUGCCACGUCAUCCCAUAUCUUGACGUAUCAGGUGUCGGUGACUGCGGCGCACUUUAGGUUAGCGUGCGUGAUGGUAAAAAUUCAACAUUGAAACUCCGUAACACUAGCAUAUGAACUCCAUUCUCAAAGACUCUUAUAUAACCGUGUAGGUAUCGUCAUUCUCUACAACUUUCCUUUUGGUCGUUUUGUCUAGUUUUGACUUUCUUUUUUCGACGUCUUUCUAUUACCCUUAUGAUUUUAUAAAAAUUAUAACUCAUUCAUAUGACGUCCGUUUUAGGCAUUCAUUGGCUCAUAAUUCCUACUUUUGUAAUAUUAUGAUUGCCUAGUUGAUAAGUUUUUCCAAAAGUCGAUCAAUAUCAUUGUAGUUCUAUUCAUUGUAACUUUUUAAAUACCGUAGAUAUUUAUUUUCCUUAAAUGUCAUAUCUCACUCAUACCAAGAUAGAUUCUUACAAAAUUUGUAUUUCUAGAAUCGCGGUAACCUAUAGAGUCUAAAUAUGUUAACCAUGUCUCAAAGUAACACGACUUUUUAUGCACUUAUUUUUUAGCCUAAUGGUUAAUGCAAUUAGGAACAAAAAAUUAGAAUAUAUUAAAAUAUAUUGUGUGAUUACAAGGAUGUCCUUAUUACAUUUUUACGUCCUAUAAUUAAAUAUUAACGGCAAUUGGUGAUGUAUUCUUUGGGUUGUCACAAAUUUUGACCUAGAGGCAAACUUGGAGGAUUUGGGUUGGUGAUUAGGGAUUUUUCUGUCUUUGUGAUAGUCGGUUUGCGGGAUUGAGCAGUACAAGGUGUGAGAGUGUAGUUUUGCUUCUUCGGUUCUUCAUUGCAAGUGAUUUUCUCACUAUUUUAUAUAUCUCAUUAUAUAUCCUUCGCAUGUUAGGAUAGAGGUGUUAUUAGAGCACAAGUAUGUUAUUAGUUGAGGUAAUUCCUUUGUAUUUAUGUGUUGUAUUAGACACUUAAUGUCAAUGUAUUAUAGACUCAUAAGGUCUUACUUGUUGAUUGUAUAGAACUGUUAAGGGUUAUGGUUGGUUAGUGUAACUAGGGUAGAUAAGUCAUCAGGAUUAUGUUGAUUGACCAGCGAAGGACUUAUUGAGAAGUGAUCAAUGGCAUGAAACUAGGAAAGACUAGUUGAUAAUGUUAUGGACAUGUAUGUAUUUGCUAUGUAGUUAUGUCGCAUGAUUAGGCAAAAGAGAUACUUUAGGUCCUAUGUAAUUUUAGUGGAUAGCCUGAGAACUCUUUGCUUAAUACCUGAUUGUGAUGUUCUUGUCUAAUUGUUCGCUCUUGGGUGGGUCACUGGUUUGACUGUCUGUCUAACCCCUGACUAAGUACAUUUGACUUUAUGAUUUGUUUGGAGACUGUGAGUUGAUCACAACACUGAUAAAAAGAAUGUGGUUGGAUCACAACACUAAUAGGAAGAAUGUGGUUGGAUCACAACACUAAUAAGAAGACUGUGGUUGGAUCACAACACUGAUAGAAAGGAUGUGUUUGGAUCACAGUACUGAUAGGAAGACUAUGGAUGGAUCACAUCACUGAUAGGAAGAUUGUGGUUGGAUCACAUCAACUGUAUGAAAGGCCAGGGUUCCCGUCACUAGCAAUAGAGCCAGGUUUAGGCUCGUAUACUCCCUAGGGUUGGGCCCGAUACACAUAAUAUAUGUAUGUGGCUAGAAGAGUUGACUGUUCAGCGUUAGAGUCGAGAUCUUGUGUGGAUACAUUAUAUGUAUUAUCGAGUAUGUGGUAUACUGAGGAACUCACUAUGUUUUAUGCAUGCAGUUGUGGAUCAAACAUUUUGUAGGCUGUUUGUGAGAAGUGCUCAGUGGGACUAUACACACGCAUCGAAGACGCUUGUUUCCACAGUUUUGUAAACUUAACUAUGAUAUUGUAUGGUUUUAACCAAAUAAAUGUUACUACAUGGUUUUGAAACAAAUAUUUUAAUUGGUUACUAUAUUUUAAAACUGAAAAAUCUCUUUGAAUUUUUGAGACGCUACAAUAAAUGGUACAUUUUGAAUCAUUUAAAAAAAAAAUUAAUAAGCUCGUUGAAAUACUAGUUUGUUUAGUUUUUCAAAUAGUUGGCUUAUUAAUUACUUUUUUACCUUAUCAUUUAUAGCAACCUAAAAAAAUAAAAUAAUAAACUAACUUGUAAACUAGUUAUGACUUGUCAAACAUAAUUAGUUAAUUUACUAAACUUUAUAUGAUACAUAAAUAAAUAAAUAAUAAUAAUAUUCCUCUGUAAGUCUCUAUGUAUGAAGAAAACGGACAUAGUUCUAAUAUACUUAUGAUAUACGGUUUUUAUUCUACAUAAUUUAAUUAAAAAAAAAAUAACUACUAAAUAUUUAAAAUUCCCUGAAUAAUAAAAAGGUAAAAAGUCGGACCAAAACACAACCAUAUAUGAUGCAAUCGGCCGAGUCUACUCAUUAAAAUUAGGUGGUUUAUCAUGUAUGGAUCUCAUACUUUCUUCUUUUGGCUAGUCCAUUAAUGCAAUUAUUGUUAACAAAAAAGCAUGCGUUAUGAAAUUUUGAAGUGUCGAUCAUGCUUGGUAAUAUAUACAACGUUAGAGGUUAGUGCAAGUGAUGUUUACAUGGGCGUCAAAUACUACUUCAAUUAAAGAUACAAUAUGAGAAAUGUAAAUUUAAUAGUUGGAAAAAUGAGUAGGUAUGCAGCGAUGUGUGGGGACUGUAGCUAGCUGUUAUCAGUGGAUGGAUCCAGUUAUAUGAAUUACUAUUCAAGUAUCCCUAUACUUUUGUGGAAUGCAUGUAUAUAUAAGGGUAAUAUGUGAUUGGAGUUAAUUACGAGCUCAUUGCCACCAAAAUUCAUCCAUGGGGCUCGCACCAUUUUUCAUCUUUGUGGCUGUUUUCAGCCUAUAUUUGGUUGAUGGACUCAAUCAUGAGGCCAAGGACGGUAUUUCAAAUCGUAGAGUUUUGAAAGAACUAAAUGUGCAUGGAAAGAACACAACUUCUUCUGAGAUUACUGUGGUUAACAGCAAAAUGGAAAUGAACCAUGGUGGUGGUGGUGGUGCUGGUGGUGGUGCUGGUGGGAGUGGGAGUGGGAGUGGGAGUGAUAGUGGGAGCGGGAGCGGGAGUGGGAAAAGUGGUGGAAAUAAGAGGAAGCACAAGAAAAAGCACAAUGGUGGUAAAGGGAACAGUGCNNNNNNNNNNNNNNNNNNNNNNNNNNNNNNNNNNNNNNNNNNNNNNNNNNNNNNNNNNNNNNNNNNNNNNNNNNNNNNNNNNNNNNNNNNNNNNNNNNNNNNNNNNNNNNNNNNNNNNNNNNNNNNNNNNNNNNNNNNNNNNNNNNNNNNNNNNNNNNNNNNNNNNNNNNNNNNNNNNNNNNNNNNNNNNNNNNNNNNNNNNNNNNNNNNNGGUGGAGGUGGAGGUGGUCAAGGUGGAGGUUGGGGUUGGGGAGGAGGUGCAAACCAAAAUUGUUGGAUAUGGGGAUGUGGAGGAGGACAUCCACCGGCGACCAAGGGAUGAGAAUAAGAUUUGAAGCAAUCGAAUGUAUGAAUUAUGUAUGAUAACCUUUACGUCUUCAUUGAAUGUUAGCAUGCCUCACACGUUCGCUAAUAAAUUUUGUUCUGUUUUUGAAUGAUCUUUGCCCUUGUGGUCUUCAACCAUUUCAAGAUUUCUUUCGCAAUACAACAACAAAUAACACUAUGCUUCAUUUUUCCAUUCCACUAAUCACAUCUAACCUUGGUAUAUCGUUCACUUUAAUCAUUCCCGAUUCCGAUUCGGAUGUUAUUUAUCGUUUUACAUACUCUAACCCGGAUUAACCAAAAUAAACUAUAAUCAACCCAAUUUCUGUUGAUGAGUCUAUCAAUCCUUUUUGACUAUAUCACAAACACUGAAUCCUUUCUAACUAUAAUCAACCCAAUUUCCAUGGUAUAAUCCGCUAACGAGGAAAAAAAAUCUAAGUGCAAUGUCUAAGUUGUGCAUCAACAAACAUUCAUGCAAAAUGAUAGCCCCAUGUGAUGGUCGUUUUUCCCUUGUGGACGGUUUUCCCCAUGCUCCGGAUCUGCCCCUGUAGUGGAUACUUUUGAUUUUCUCUCCUAGUGUUGCUUCCUUGUUCAUUGGCUCUCUUCAUGGUUUUGUUCUAAAGAUAUCUCAUUUAAUUGGUUAUAUCUUCAUCUAGGUUUCCACUUGUGAGGUCUCCUUAAGUCCUGGUGGUUCUUAUUUGGCCUCAGUGGUGUUUCUUUUGCAUAUGCUUUAUAGUUAAAGCAUGGUAUAAAAGGUGCCUACCAAAAUAACGACUCCAUGUGGAUUCUCUCAAAGUACCAUAACUAAGAAGAUAAACGAAAGCACAACGUUAUAAUUGUGUAGAACUUUCAAAAUGCAUCGUUCUAAAAGAAAACAAAAUGAAAGUAAAAUCUUACAAUUUAAUAUAUUUGUCGAAUCAAAGGACAAUAGAUGAAACACCAUUAAAGCCUUGAGAUCAUAUUGUAAAGUGAGCAUUUCAUAUGCAUGCUAAUAUAUUCUUCUCAUGGAAGAGUAAAAUAGACUAAGGUUCAAAUCUAUCAAAAUGCAUUUUUUAGGCAUCGGAAGUAUUAAUUAGACUACAAAGAAUGUUAAUGGCCCGAAUAUAAUCUUAUAAAUUAACAACUAUUAAGCAUUUCACAUACAUUAACAUAAUCAAUAAAAAUGAGUACAUAAUAGAAUAUUAGUUUACACUCAAAUGAGAUAGAAUGCUUACAUCGCAAUAGCCAAUAGCGGAUUGUGUUACAGACUACUAUUUUAAAGAAUCUGAAGAUGAUAAUCUAGUCAAAAGAAAGGUAGUAGUUUCUCAUAAAUAUCCUAGGCAUGAAAUGAAACGCACCUCCAACUCUUGCUAUAGAAGUUGCUACUAGCAUGUGACCAACAAUGGCUGCACUUUCUUAUGUUUUAAACAAUAUGAAGAAGACAUAGAAUUUAGUGAAAACAAUUUCUCUAAGUUUUUUUUGGUGUUAGGUAAGCACCCAUAUUAACAAUAAAAAUAAUAACAAAAUAAAAAAAUAAAAACCAAAAACCUUAAAGUAUCUCCAAUAUAGUAAACAUUUUCCACAAAACUUAUGUAAAAGUUUCAAACUAAAUUUUAUUUAUAAAAAAAUACAAAAUAUCGGCUAAAACUUCGAAAAAAAAAAUCGACAGGCUCUGCAGUUUUGGCUGGUAUAUGUCAUGUCCUUUUUGUUAGUUUGGUCAAAAUAUGAAGACUUUUUUGAAAAUUACCCAAUAACCAAAAUAUUUGGAUUUUUUUGAAAAAUACUAUGGAAUUAAUGAAUAUUAUUAUUAACGAAUCAUGUAUAAACAUAACAAAUAUUUUUUAUUAUAGAAAAACUCAUUUGUUGCUAAUUUCUACGAAUAGAAUGGUGAACUAAGUACUCCUCUAUUAUUUGCAGACCACUUCAAACUCGCAGAGGAAUAACUCGAGAAUGCAGCCCAAAUGAACCCUCAAAGCACUCACUGUUGGGUCAUCGAAGAUCUCCACCUCUAACGGGUUAUCCAAUACGUCUGGAGCGUCAUCAAACUUCUUGCUAAGCGCAAGGGACACGAAAGAUCUUAUGGGUUUUAUAGGUUAUCAAAAACAUGUAAAGCGGAAAAUCUUAACACUUAAGUUCACAUGCAACAAAUAAAGGAUCUAUGUUUUUUUCUAAUUGAUAGCAACAUACUAUGAACAUCAAGAACACUAAAGGAACUCUAUGAAAAUCAAAAUUCAUGAAUUAGGGUUUACAUACCUUUAGAUUUAUUAUAGCAAAUAAAUCUUUGAUCAUUUCCUUUGUGGCUUUAGAAAGCAAGCAUCAAAAGUAUGAUGUCGGUAAUGGCCCACACCCAAAACCUCAGAUACCCUAGAAUGAAGAGGAGGGAGAGGAGAUUGAUAGAAAUUCCUUUCCUAAGCUUUUAGGUAAAGGUAUGAACGAAAUUUGUUGGUCUUGGGGUCCUAUUUAUAGUUUAGGUAACCUGCAGGCAAAGUCGGAUUUGAAUUAAUUAAAUAAUAGAUUUAAUCUCAAUUCAAAGCUAAUAUCAUAAAAGUCUUAUAUUUUGCCAUUAAAUUGGAAAAAUCCUUGAUUUUAAUUUUUUUGUUGACUGUGGACAUGAUAUUUUCAUGGAAUUAUCACUUAAGAGCAAAUACCCAGUGAUGAGCAGGUUACCUGUACUAUCUGGUCACCAGUAACCUAUUCCCUAGCCAUUAGCUUUAACAAACCAUCACUUGUUAAAAGAUGUCACGUAUUCGAGAAGGGUUUGACGCUGAGAAGGGUUUCACAGUCCCUAAUUUAGUUUCUUGGAUUUUUCAGAAGAAACUUUCAGAGCCCCCACAAAACUAUGUGAUGAUCCUUUUCUUAACAUAUUGUGUGAUGAAAACAUAUUAAGGAUGACUAUUGAUGGAAUGGUAGAUGAUAGAGACAAUCCUGGUGGCCAACAAAAUGAGCAUGCCCACUUAAAUGAGGACGAUGAAGAUGUUGGCGUCGAGUAUACGGUGCAUAAUCCCAAUGUUAAUUGGAAAGAGAUAAGGCCCCGAUUAGGAGAUUGUUAUGAACCCCCUGCUCAACUCAGGUUUGCUUUAACAAACAAUGCAGUCCAUGGAGGAUACCAGCUUAAUUUUGAAAAGGUUGAUAGAUUUAGGGUUAUAGCUAAGUGUGGUAGUCGAAGCAGUGACAAUAACAAAAAUGCAUGUCCAUUUAGGGGUGUUGUUGGAUGGAAGUACAAGUACAAUGAAAGAACAUUCCAGAUUAAAUAAUAUAAUGAAAUUCAUCUGUGUGCUAGGAACUAUCACUUUGGUUCCCUAGUUAAUAUCAAUUGUUUAGCCAAACACUACCUGAAAGAUGUAAUCAUGAAGUCCAAGAUGACAUUGUUAGAGAUGCAAGCAAGUAUGCUACAAAGGUUUUUAGUGAUUCUAUCUAUUAGGCAAUGCCAAAGAUCAAGGGCUACUGCAAUGGGGUGAUAGAAGGAAGUUAGAAGACCAUUAUGAUAGGGUUUGGGAUUAUAAAGCCGCAAUUAAGUUGACUAAUCCGAGUACAACUUGCUUAGUGGGGGUAGAAAGUAACCUGGGGUGUAACUAUUUCAAGAGGUUUUAUGUUGGCAUCAAAGCUUUCAGGGGCGGAUGGAACAGAGGCUGUAGAAGGGUGAUAGUACUAGAUGGUAGUUUCUUGAAGGGGUGGGUAAAGGGAUAGAUUUUAACUGAUAUUAGGAGAGAUGAAAACGAUCAUGUUCACCCAAUAGCAUGGGCAUUUGUGAAUGUUGAGAAUAAGGACAACUGGACCUGGUUCGUCGAGAAUUUGGUUGUUGAUUUGGAUCUUGAUGCUGGCAAUGGACUGGUUGUUAUCUCAGACCAACACAAGUUACAUACAACAUAUAUUAGUAUACAAUAUAUAUAUAUAUAUAUAUAUAUAUAUAUGUGUGUGUGUGUGUGUAUGUGUGUGUAACACUCAUAACGUUUACAUGUCCUGUGUUUGUUUGUUAAUUAUAGGAACUUCUACAGGCUGUGGCAAACCUAAUCCCCCCAUGUUCAGCACAGACAACGUGCUAGACACAUCUUUGCAAACUUCAGGAAGAAAUACAAUGUAACAUUCGAUUCCAGGUAUGUUCUUGUUUGGUCCUUAAAGUUGAUAAUUUUUUCAAUAAUGGUCCCUCAUACGUUGGGCGCACAUUUGGUACGCUUAGCGUACAUGUGUAGUUGGAGACGGGGAACUUAACCACGUAUGUUGGGCAUACAUGGUGUUCGCGAGGCAUACAUCAUCCAACACUCAACCCUAAUUUUUUGGGCAUAAGCCCAAUUUAAACAUCAUUAUGGCCUUUAGACACUUACUCUCAUUAGCAUCCACUGUUCAUUCUUCCCUUUGAAACCCUAUUUCACCCUCUUUGUGUGUUCUUCAGUUAUGUAGUGAUUUUGUAGCAUUUUAGUAUGUGUUCAAGAAGAAGGAACUUGGAGACCAAGCAUAUGUUGAGGUUUAGCUUCUAGAUCUAGAGUCUUCAUCAACUUUGGAAGCUUUUGAAGUGUGAUAUCUUCCGGUUUGGUAGUCAAGCAAUUAGUUACUUAUCAGCGGACUGAGGUGAGUUUUCUCACUGUAUUAAUGGUUCGAAGGCACCAAGGUCGGCCCAUUAUUUGUGAUGUAGAAUGUUAGUCAUAAUUGUGAUAUAUGUAUGAAAGACUAGGAUUUGGCCCCUGGCAAUUGUAUGAAAGACCAGGAAGUGGCCCCUAGAAUUUGUAUGAAAGACCAGGGUCUGACCCCUGGCAACUGUAAGGAAGACCGAUAUUUGGCCCCCGACAUGGAAUUACUUGUAAGACUAUGGUGUGGCCCAUAGCACUAAUUUAUUUAUGUUUUGUAUGUGGUACUCAUGGAAACUCACCAAGCUUUUUCUUACAGUUUGUAUUUAUGUUUUCAGGUACUUCCGGUACUAAGGGAAAGGGUCUGGUGUGAUGGCACAGCAUGAUGUAAUGGAUUUUGGAACAAUUUAAUGACUGUAUCUCUUGUUUAUAAAAAUGAAAAAAAAAAUUGGUUUUUUGGCUAUUACAAGUUGGUAUCAGAUCUUUGGUUUGAGGGAUUCGGGCACACUUUCGGGUGUACCAAAACUCAAACUAAGGAAAUGAUAAUCUUUUCAAAAUAAAAAUAAUUUGAAUUUUUGAAAAAGAUUCUUUUAAGUAAAAAGGGGAGUGCAAUGCGUGUAAUCAGUCGAGCUCAAGUACGUAUUUCCCAAGGUACCCGUACUUAUAUAUUGUGAUUAGUAUACCUUAUAUGUGAACUACAUGCUAGAUUAGGGCUAAGGAUACCUUCAUGAGUAAUAUGAUAGAAUUCCCUGAUUUGUGUAAUGCCUUAUAGCUCAAUAUAACUUGAUGUCAUGUAUUACUUGGAAUUGAUAUCAGCUCAGUUAUUUGCUAAGUGUAUGCUUUUAAAGUUGUAUAUGAUUAGGAUUGUAUAGCUCUAGAAUGAUUGAUUUAGCUUCAUUUCCUAUUCCUUGUUUGGUUGUGGACUUAGUCUAGAAUCUUCAUUCAACAGUCUAUGUGAUCCUAUUUUAUAUACCACUUGCAUGCAUAAGGCAACCAGUGGUGUUGAUUGAGGUUCUUGGUAUUGCUAGUGGUAAGUUCCUAGAAGAGUCUACGAUAUUUAUGUUGUGUAGCAUAGGUUUGUUCUUGGUUAUAGUUUGGUAACUUAGAGGAAUCUGAAUUUACCUUGUAAAGGUACAUGUAGGUGUAGAAAGUAGUAUUGGGCCCAUACUACUAGAAGCAUGGGACCGGUACCUGAGACAGGUGUAGAUCUAGGGAUCCUAAGGAUACCUGUGUGUUGCGAGUUUCCCUCGAGUGUUUGCUGAUUGUUUAUAUCUUGUGUUUUAGUUUGAUGAUGGUGGUCACUCGUUUGGCAACAGGGGUUUCUAGUUUUGGCUCUGGAUCGGGUUCAGGUUCUGGCUCUGGCUCAGAACCGAUUGAUGAGAGGUAGAGUGAGCUCAUUGUAGAUGAGGUUACUCGCAGUAUUCUUGACGCCACCCCCAUGAUUUUCUAUACCAUCAAGCAGGGGAUUGUGUAGCUCAUAGAGGAGCAGUUCAGGUAUUUUCGAUCCGAGAUCGUUUCGGGUCUGAUUGGGACUUGGCCUCCCUCAUUCUAGGAGUUCAAGGCGUGUGGAGCGCCUGAGUUCAUUGGGGCUAAGCACCCGAUAACUAGACAUUACUGGCUCGCUGACAUGGAGAAUGCACAGCGUACGAGUUAUUUCCCUGAGGGGGAAAAGGUGGGUUUCGCGUCCUACUUACUGAGGGACAAAGCACGGGACUGGUAGGAAGAGGUUACUCGAGCAGUAGGUUUUGCAGCAGUGGCUGUGAUGACAUAAGAGGACUUCGUUGAGAGGUUUCAAAGGGAGUUUGCACAAGACUAUAGAGACUGUGGCGGAGAUUACCGCCAAAUUCAGGGAGAGAGCCUACUGGUCCCGUAAUAAAUUAUGGAUGAGGACAUGAGGAAGAAGAGAUAUUAUGAUAUGUUAACGGGUGAUAUUAGGGAUUUUAUGAGCUUCUCGAGGUGCAAGACCCCGAAUGAUAUGGUCAAUACGGGUGAUAUUAGGGAUUUUGUGAGCGGGAGAUUGAGUUGGAGCUCCGGACUAAGUGAAAUUCGGAGAAGGUUCAGUUAGUUGUGGGUCAAGAUAAGAGACCCAAUACCUUUGAUACCCACACUAGAGGCCAACAGGGUCAGGGACGUUGUACCAUGUGUGGCAAGCCGCACAGUGGAGCUUUUCGAUCAGCAGGUUCAUGAUGUUUUAGCUAUAUCUAGUCGGGUCAUGUGAGCAGGGAUUGCUCCAAGAAGGCUCUAAUUUGCUUUCAUGCAAUCAGAUCGGCCAUAAAAAUGCUGAUUGUCCAAGAUUUUCCGGAGGAGCAGUGGUGGCACCAGCACCAGCCACCUUGAGGAUUACCAAUGGCUGCCAGAGGCUCAUGUAGUGAAGAGCAGGGCUUUUCAGCUGACCACCGAUGUUGCAUGUUCAGCAUCGGAUGUAGUUACUGGUAUAUGUUAUAACCCUAUCUUUUAUAUAUUUCCUUUUUUAUGCUUAUAUUUAUUAUGGUCUUGUAAAGGGACCUUUUUGGUCAACGGGUUGUCUGCUCAUGUUCUGUUUGAUUUAGGGCUACCCAGUCCUUCGUAUCUCUUGCACUCAGCAAGAAGUUUCGAGACAUUCCAGGGACUUUAGGUUCCCCUCUGGAGGUAGAGAUUGUGGAUGACCCUACCGUGAGUGCUUUGAGGUUUUUCUGGGGGUGUGUCCUGGACAUGUUUAGCGAGCGGUUCUCUAUUGAUUUGGUGUUGAUCCCCAUGAGAGGAUCGAAGUUUAUCAUUCGAAUGGAUUGGUUAGGCCCCAAUGGGGUUGUGAUUGAUUGUGAGCAGCAGCUAGUAAGAGUUCGAACCCUGAGUGGGGGAGAACUGGUUGUUACUAGCGAGAGAUCUUCGCAAGGGCCAACUCUCUGUUUAGCUGCGAGGGCCAGGAGAUAUCUGUAACAGGAUUGUUUUGGGUUCUUAGCCUAUGUUUCUGAUACACGGGUUAAGGCCACGAUGGAGUUGAGAAGGGUACCCAUUGUGCAGGAUUUUCUAGAUGUUUUCCCCAAGGAUUUGCCUGGAGUGCCUCCUAAGAGGCAGGUUGAGUUUUGGAUUGAUUUGGUACCUAGUGUGGCUCUGAUAGCCAAGGCGUCGUAUCGCCUGGCACCACCAGAGAUGUAUGAGUUGUCUACGCAGUUGCAGGAGUUGCUAGACAAGGGUUUUAUUCAUCUGAGCAGUUCUCCGUGGGGAGCACCAAUCCUAUUUGUGAAUAAUAAAGACAUUUCCCACAUGAUGUGAAUUGAUUAUCGGAAGUUGAAUAAGCUAACAAUGAACAACCGUUCCCACUCCUGAGGAUCGAUGAUUUGUUUGAUCAACUCCAUGGUGCAUCUUGGUUUUCCAAGAUUGAUUAGCGAUCAAGGUACCACCAAAUGUGGCAGCAGAGAUGGAUGGAUUUGGUAAAGUAUUAUGAUUGCGAUAUCCUAUACCACCCUGGGAAAGCCAAUGUGGUGGCCGAUACUUUGAGCCGUAAGGCGGCAAGUAAUCCUAUCAGAAAUGUUUGCUUAAGAAUGGUUGUCAUCUUACCUCUAUCAGAUUUGAUGAAGGAAUUUGAAGUUGAGGGUAUGAAAAGGAGAAUUGGAAGGUCGAGCGAAUCAUGGGGAAAAUUCCCUUGUUUGUUAAGGACAGUCGUGGAUUGUUGACUGAGUGUGGUAUAAUUGGCUCCCGACACGAGGUGAAGCGAGACAGAUGGUACUAGAAGAGGUCUAUAGGUCAAAGCUCUCUAUCCAUCCAUGGGCCACAAAGAUGUACAGGGAUUUGAGGAUGACUUAUUGGUGGCCCUGUAUGAAAAGGGAGGUAGCUUGGUUUGUUAAGCGGUGCCUGACUUGCAAGAAAGUGAAGGCCGAGCACCAGAGACCCUACAACAAGGUACAGCCAUUACCCAUUCCCAUGUGGAAAUAGGAGGAGAUCACUAUGGAUUUCAUCACAAAAUUUCCUAGGACAACACAUAGUGUUGAUUCUAUCUGGGUCAUCAUGGACAAACUAACCAAGAGUGCACAUUUCAUUCUGAUUACAGAGAGCAUAUCUGCAGUAACGCUAGCUAAUAUUUAUGUCCGGGAAGUGGUGGUUCGGCACGGGGUUCCAGUUUCAGUGGUCACGAACUGAGAUGUUCAUUCCACCUCCAGGUUUUGGAGGAAGUUUCAUGAGGAGUUAGGUACUCAGUUGCAUUUUAGUACUGCAUAUCACCCUCAGACCGAUGGCCAGAGCGAGCGAGUGAUCCAUACACUCGAGGAUAUGCUUCAGGCUUAUGUGUUGGAUUUUUUUUUUUUUAGGGGGGGGGGUACCUACCUUCCACUGGAUGAGUUCUCCUACAACAAUAGGUAUCAUGCUAGUAUUGACCGACCACGAUUUGAAAUGUUGUAUGGGAGGAGAUGCAAGGCCCCGGUUUGUUGGGGUAAGGUUGGUCAUCAGGUCAUGGGAAACAUUGAGGUAGUGCUUAAGACCACAUAAUUGAUUCAUCAGGUGCGUGAAUGGUUGCGGGUCGUGCAGAGUCAACAUAAGAUUUAUACCGAUCAACGUCAUUUGGACAUUGAGUUUCAGGUAGGAGACUUCGUGCUGCUGAAGGUGUCACCUUCGAAAGGUAUCAUCCAGUUUUGGAAGCAGGAAAAGUUGGGCCCUUGGUUUAUUGGUCCUGUCAUGAUUACUGCCCGAGUGGGAACGGUUGCAUACAGGUUGGACCUGCCUAAGGAGCUCAAUCAGAUCCAUAACACUUUCCAAAUGUCUCAGUUGCGGAAGUGUGUAGCUAAUAAUUCAGCAGUGAUUUCGGUGGAUGAUAUUCAGGUUGAUGACCGCCUGAAUUACAUGGAUAAGUCGAUUGCUAUCCUCGCCAACAAAAUCAAGAUACUCCAUAAUAAGGUGGUGAAUCUAGUGAAGGUGCAAUGGCUGCACCUAAAUGGCUCUUAGUGGACAUGGGAGAUGGAGGACGAGCUGACGGAGCACUACCCUGACUUGUUUGCAUCAACGGAAUUCAAGGAUGAAGUCUAAUUCAAGUGAGUAAGAUUUGUAACAUUUGAUUCCAGGUAUGUUCUUUUUUGUUCCUUAAUGUUGAUAAUUUUUGCAAGAAUGGUCCCUCGUACGUUGGGUGCGCAUUUGGUACACUUAACAUGCAUGUGCGGUUGGUGAUGGGGAACCUAACCACAUACGUUUGGCAUGUAUGUUGGGUGUACAGUAAGCAAGACCAAACCCUAAUUUUUAGGGCAUGAGCACUAUUUAAACGUCAUUAUGGCCUUUAGACACUUACUCUGAUCAACCUCCACUAUUCAUUUGUCCGUUUAAAACCCUAGUUCACCCACUUUGAGUGUUCUUGUGCUUUAAAGUGAUUUUGUGGCAUUUUAGUGUGUGUUCAAGAAUACGGAACCUAGAGACCAAUAAUUUGUUAAGUUUGAGCUUCUAGAUCUAGAGUCUUCAUCAACUUUAGAACCUUUUGAAGUGUAGGAUCCUCCGGUUCGGUAGCUGAGCAUUUAGUUAUUUAUCAGUGGACUAAGGUGAGUUUUCUCAUAGUAUCAAUGGGUUAAAGGCAUCAAGGUCGUCCCAUUAUUCGUUAUGUAGAAUUCUAUUCAUAAUUGUGAUAUGUGUAUGAACGAACAGGAUUUGGCCCCUGGCAAUUGUAUGAAAGACCAAGAUGUAGCCCCUGGUAUUUGCAUGAAAGACCAGUGUCUGGUCCCUGGAAAUUGUAAGGAAGAUCGGGAUUUGGCCCCCAGCAGGGAAUUACUUGUAAGACUAUGGUCUGGCCCAUUGUACUAAUUUAUUUAUGUUUGGUAUGUGGUACUUGGGUAAACACACUAAGCUUUUGCUUACAGUUUGUAUUUAUGUUUUUAGAUACUUCUGGUACUAAGGGAAAGGUCCCGACGUGAUGGCACAGCAUACUCCCCUCACUAUUUUCCGCACUUAUUUAUAUUAUUACUCUGAUGAUUGGAAAUAGUUAUUAUGUAAUGGAUUUUGGAACAAUUUAAUGACUGAAUCUCUUAUUUAAAAAAAAUGAAAACAUUUAUCCAGGUUGUUGGGAUGCUACAUACACAAGACUGGAGCUGAAGAAUUUUUUUUUGGGAAGCUGUUAUGUGUACAGUGAAAGGGGACCUUCUUGCUACAAUGGAGAAGAUAAAUAAGAUAAUAGAAAUAGGAUACAACUAUCUUAUGGAAAGGAAACCUAUAACCUGGUGCAAAGCCUUCUUUUCUCAUGGGUAUGCUUAUGAAGCAGUAGAGAAUGGAGUCUCAAAAUUUUUCAAUGGCAUAAUCAAAGAAAUAAGGAAUGAGCCUCUACUUACAAUGCUUAAGGAAAUAAGGAUUCUCCUUAUGAAAAGUUUUUAUCAUCAAGGUCAAGAGGUACCUAAAUGGAGGGGUAUGAGUUAAUGUUAGUUUUUACGGGCUUGUAUCGAUAUGUAUUAUGUAUUUAUUGUUUAUGUGUAUAAUUUGUUUUUUUUGUAGUUUGUGGAUAGUGUUGCCAAAUGGAGGUGAUGUGUUGAAGACAAGGUAUGACUAUAUUUGAAACAAGGUGGAUUUCGCUACUCACACUUGCACCUGUAACUUGUGGAUAUUUGUCACACCCCCAAACCAGAACGGCGGAAUCGUUUGAGGGUGGAUGACUUCAUGUACAAUAUCAUAACAAUGUAAAGUAGUAAACAAGCAACAACAUCGUCCAUUGCAUUAAUAGUAAUAGUUUAAUAUAUGUGUGUUCUUUCAUAGUAAUAAGACAUUACAACAAGUAAUCAAAAUAAAAGACGAGUCUUGACUGUUCCGUCUUCGCAAAACCUGGUCAUCGUACAUGUCUACUGGUGACCUGCGAAUACAAGUUAUUUUGAAAGUGUAGGUCAGCAUUUAAGCUGGUGAGUUCAUAAGUAUUUAAUGUCAUUGUUUGUAUAAGUAUGAUGAAAACGUUUGAAAUUGUUCAAUGUAAUUGUUUGUAUAUGUUUUGAAAACUCCUAGAAAAUCCCAUAUUUUCUACUUGUAUAAAAGUAGCCUUUUAUCGAGGCCUGACUAUUUUUGAAUAUUUGUUUCUAAAAGUCCAACAUUUAUCCAUAAGUGUGUGGUAGUUUAAAAGUUCCAAAACUAUAACACAAUGAUGUUUUUCAUGCCUAAAUAAUAGAUUUAUGUAUGUAUAAAAUCGCCAAGGCACUUGAUGACUCUGUAAACCAAUAUAUUUUUAAUACUCCAUGUGGGUCUUUUGUUUAAGUAAAACUGGUUAAAAGGGUGUUUAUCCCAAAUUGGUAACAUGCUAAUAAUAUCCCAUGGUAUAGUUAUUACCCCCUGAGCAUGAUUGAGUUAAAUGUAUAUUAGUACGUACAAGAGUUGUUUCCGCGGUUUGUAAGUUUCUCAUAACCAUACUAGACGUAGUACUAAUGUCGACAUUAUUCACCUUAGACCUACCGGUCUAACUGGAGGUUACAGUUUAGGUGCGGGUUCGUCAAACCCGUAUGGAUCUAUAAAAAAAUUCACGCUCUCCCUCCAGGAGACUCUGGUUAAAGAUGGGGACUUUCGUUUUGGUACUAACAAAGCCAUAUGUCUCACAUGAUUGCUAACAACAAGUUCACGAGUAAUAUGAUGAAAUACCUUUUGUAUGAAAAGAUUAUCAUUGUUAAGAAGAAUGCAUACUUGUAAAUAAAACGUUGGUAUAGUUGGAUCCGGAAGUGUUCUUAUACUAUAGUAUUUUAGUAUGUUCUCUUUAUCAUAGUAUAUUAGUAUGUUCUUUUGUCAUAGUGUUCUAUGUUAUAGUAUUUGUAUACGAUAGUAUUCUCCUAAACUAUACCUAUUAUAGUUUACUAGUAGGUUCCGUUAUAGUAUUUGAAGAAAUGAAUGUACACCUUUGCUACUCAAAGGUAUUGAACUGAUUGAAUAGUACUUUUAUAUCAACAUAUGUAUACAUAAUAUAUAAGUUUAAAAGGAAAUUUCGUAACACGUUUGAAUGAGUCUAAUAAUAAAUACUGAUGACUUGAUGUCAGUGUAUACAACGAUUUAAAAAGUAGUUUGUUUGAUAAGACAAUGUAAAGUAAAAGUAAUCCCUUGUUUGAAAACACAGUUAUAAAUCGCAUGUGAUUGAUUAUAUAACAAAGAGUAUAACAAAAGAUUUAUGUUUUUCACACGAUGAUAACUGUGUGUUUACUUGUAUCCCCCCCCCCCCCUAAAGUGUAUAAAAUGCAUUUAUAAAACAUUUGAAAGUAUAGUUAUAGGGUAUGAACUCACUUGAUAAGUGGUGAAUCGAGCAGCGUUUCGUUUCCAAGAAGGAUCGUUCUUGACGUAACCACGAGUCUUGGGUGAACAAACGAGCUUCACACGAGCAGUACUUCGACUGGAAAGAAGUUAGUUUCUCGGGAGAUUCGGAGCGUUGGGACUCACGUCGUGUGUGAGAGGUGUUACCGGGGCUUCGGGGUGGUUUAGAAGGGUUUAAUAGCGUGUAGAAGUAGGAGAGAGGAUGGGGUUGAGCAACCAAACUCGAAAGGCUUAGAUUUCUUUAUAUAGUCACAAUUUUGACUCUCACCUCGUGAGUUUUUCAUAACUCACGUCGUGAGUUUGGUCCCAAAUCAUCAUGGCAUGCGUCACUCAUUAACUUGCUCUGGAAGGGUCAGUCUGGCAGCUCACCUCGUGAGUUUUUUUGUUCACCUCGUGAGUCACCUGACAGCAUGGGGUUUUGGACCCCAAACUUGUAAAAUCCGUAACUUUUGCGUACGGGCUCCGUUUUCGACGUUCUUUAUAUGCACGUGUAGCUGAAAAUAUGCUCUACAACUCUCGUUUAGACUCCAUUGGCAAAUUUUGAAUUUAUUUUUAAUUAAUUAUUUUUAAUGGGCCGGGACUAGAAAAGUUCGUUAAAAAUCCAUAACUCCUUCAUCUGAUGUCCGUUUUCGUCAGACUUUUCACCGUUGCACUACUAUUGUUGAUGUCUUUGAUUCUUAUUUAGGUUGUAUCUGCCAAAAAUCUCUCGAUCUCUAUUUCGAGUUUUUAGCUGUCUAUUGCUAUAUCAGGAUCUUGGAAAAAUCAUAACUUUCUCAUACGAAGUCAGAUUUUGACGUUCUUUGUACGUACGUUUACGGUUUAAUGAUAUCUACAACUUUCAUUUAGAUACUUAAAGCUAAAAACUAUUGUAUCGAAACAUCGUGUUUUUACGUCUAUCCGUAUUGUCGGUUUUGUCGGGAAUCUUAGAAUGGUUAUAACUUCUUCGUUAUAACUCGGAUUUUAGUGUUCUUUAUAUGUACGAAAAACUUGAUACGAUUCCUACCACUUUAUUUAACCCAAAUAAGAUUUUAAUUUUGACCUAAAUUUGACUAGUGUUACAUUAUAUUGUCUCGAAAUAUCGGGUUGUCACAAUAUUUUCCAGAAUACCAUGUGUUCAUAGUCAAGGUGCAAUCAACUUCAUCCACAAAGAUCCAAUUUAGUUCAUUUCUUCUUGGUUCCAUAAGGACAAGUAUGUUGCAACAUACAUGGAGAACAUACUACCUGUAGGUGGACGCAACUUGUAGCCAAGAACUGAGUUUAUUAAACCAUUACCACCCCCAGUCAGAAGGAUGCUUGGAAACCCAAACUAAAGAUAAUGAAUCAUGCAUUUGAAUCACAACAUGCCAAAUACCCCUCAGAAAGGUUAAAGGUGCCUAGGACUGUGAGGUAUGGAAAGUGCCAAGAGCUUUGACAUAAUAAGAUUUCAUGCACAAAUGAUGAGGUAACUAAGCCCCUGUCCAAAAAAAGGAAGAUUGGAAGACCUAGGAAAGAUAAGGGAGGCUAACCUACAUUUGACCAAUUCCCUCCAGUUAGGCCUGCUAUACGAAGAAAGGAUGGUGAUCCUCCUGAUUCUGAAUCUAGUGGUCAAGAUGGUGCUCCUCCUGUUUCUGAAUCUGAUGAUCGAGAUGGUGGUCUUGCUAUUACUCUUAUGAAAAGGACUAAGAUGAUGACAAAGAGAGGAGGGAAAACUAAGGUUGCUUUACCAAGGCACAAAACACCAAAGAGAGCCUAUGGGGCUUUUAAUGGCCUUUUCACCUAUACACCUACUGGUAAGCACCCUAUGAGUCAAGAAAAAGAGGAUGUUUCGCUAAGAUUUGAUGAGGCUUUUCAUGACCUUUUCACCCAUACACCUAAUGGUAAGCAACCUAUGAGUCUUUUGGGUAAGAAAUAUGGUUUAUACUUCGCUUUUCUUAGAUAUUUUAGUUUUCGGUCUAAGGUCGAAAACUCCUUGGGUUUAUUUGUAGCUUGGACCGAAAACCAAUGUGUUUUUGGUCUAGCAUUUGGGUUUGGGCUUUGGGUUUUGUCUAUAGGUAUAAAUAGGGUGGAGGAGGAGCGUUUUAUAAGUCUACACUAAGGAUGGGCGUUUUUGGUUAAGGGGGCAUUAUUGUUACAUUUUGGAGUGCUAUAGAGAGAAAGUUAGAGAGAGAGCUAGUGUGUGUGAAUCUUGUGUAAGGAUUAUCAUUCAUAUCAUCAAUACAUCAUAGAUUCAUCAAGUUCUUCUUCUGCUCAGUUCUAUCCUGCAUCAUCCACUUAAUUGGGAUUCCGUACCAUCAAGUGGAUCGGAUUGAUACUUCAAGCGAAUUUGGGGACUUAUAGUUGGUAUCACUACAUGGAUUGUAUCAAUCUCUUUGGAAAGAUCUGAAGCAUUUUUUAAAUUUUGCUUGAACGAUCAUACGCUUUUGGAUAGGUUUUAAAAAAAUAUUGGGGGUUUGUUCUUCGUGUUUUUCAUAAAAAUGAGUUUUUGAUCGAGUUUUGGAGCUACAAAGGUGAAAAAAUCGUGUUUUUUGAUGUAAAUUUGCAUGAUCCAGCGGCCAUUUAUGCACAGCAGGUUGCAUGUCCGAGGUCUGGAAACUCAUUUUGCGGUCAACAGCAUUUACAGCCAAAGUGUUUACAACCGAAAUCCGUUUUUGGCUUCGGACUUUUUCGGCUUCAAACAUCACGCACGUGUUCGAUCAGCAAUUCUAGCAAGUGUUCAGUCCAGUCCUCGCAGGUCAGCAGCCUCGUUUGCGGUCAGCACUCUUGUUCAACAACGAAUAUAUAAAAAUUUUGGUGGAGCAAGGAUAGAACCUAGGUCUCUCACACAUACAACCUACGCCCUUACCAAUCCGUCCAGCAAGCCACAUGUAAUACAUCUUCCCGAUUUAGUUCAAGUAGCUUCGUUUUUUUCGGUUCUAAUUUCGGAUUUUUGUCAAUAUUGGCCCAAAAAUCAAGUUUUUCAAAAUUUGAAGUUUCAUUUUUGGCCAUAAACAUUUGACUUUUAAUUUUUGACUAUCAUUUUUUACUUUUGACCUUAAAAUUUGACUUUGACUUUCAAGUUUGACCUUUGACUGUAAACUUUCACUUUUUUGUUUUAUUUUAAAGUUUAACAUAUAGCUUUUCGGUUUGACUUUUAAGUUUGAAUUUUUUAGUUUAACUUUUAAGUUUGACUUUUUUUAACUUGAAUUUAAGGUUGACUUUUGAGGUUUAUAGUCAAAGGGCAUUUUUGGUAAACAAUGAGUUCCGUAAACAUCCUGGUCAAUGAAGUUUCAUGCUCUCAAUCUUGUGAAGCUAUGAUUAAAUUUCUUCAUGAUCAAAUCGAUUUAUUAAAAAGAGGAAAUGAAGACCUUAAAUAUGAACGUUAUACUCUUAGGAAAGGUCAAAAACCCUUAAAAGCACAACUAUAGGCCAAAACCAAGGAUUUUGGAAAACUUCAAGUAGAAUACAGUAACAAAUGUGUGAAUUAUGAUUAUGUUAAGGAACAGCUUGCUAACUUGACUACCGAACUUGAUGCAUUAAAAGCUAAAUAUAAAGAUGUUGAAUUCAACUUUAAGAAAUUUGAUGUGCCUAGUGAGGUAGUUGCGUCCAUGAUAGAGAAACAAUUAACAUUUAAAGAUAAUCAAACUUAGGGUUUAGGGUAUCAUAGUGUUCCUCCUCCUUUCAAUGACAACUAUAACUCACCCCUUGAGAUCAACGAGAAAGAAAUACCUAUUUAGUAUGGCCAAACCCCUGUACCAGCUUCAGUUAAGACUGAACAAUCUAGGCCAACUGAGAAUAUUAAGGAGAACGUUUUUGAUGAUUCUACUUCUUGUGUAGGUAAAGUAGUGGAAGAUAAGAACAAGGAGAACACUAUUGAACAAACAAAUGACUCCUUGAACUUUAAAUUUGUUGCUUCUAAUCAACCUGUUUUUGUUAAGUACAUGCCACCAAUUCAAGCUAAACAGAGUGACUGUUGCAAGUGUGCUUGUGGGAACAACCAGAGACAAGGCAAGGGCAUGCUACCAGGGGCAAUCAGAAACAAUUCCUACAUGAAGAAAAAUUUGUGUUUUCACUGUGGAACACCUGGACACAUUUUAAAAAUGUUUUUGUUUUAUCUAAUAAAUGAGUGGCUAGGAUUGCGUCUCACGGUCUCACAAAAUUAGGUCGUCUGACAUGAACCUAACCCUAUAUACAUAUAUAUAUAUAUAUAUAUAUANUAUAUAUAUAUAUAUAUAUAUAUAUAUAUGGAAAGUAUAACAUAUGUAUGAGUUUUAAUUAAUUAUCUUUUUUAAACGGUACAAUUACAAAACAAAAAAACAUAUUUAAAAUAUUUAAUUAAAUAUUUUCAACAUCACCCUAUAUAACAUAUGAUCAAUAUACAAUAUACAACGAUUGUAUUACAAUAAUCCAAAAACGAAGAAAAUAUAAAAACAAAUUAGUAUAACAAACUUAGAAAUUAAAAGCUCUAAUAUAAUAGCAUAUCUCCAAAAGUGGUCAUAAGACCUCAACCCAACACAAAAACCUUUUAAUUUGUUUUCUUUCUGAAAUUUGUAUAUGAUUUAUAUGCAUGUCUUCCCAAAAGAUUGGUCUUUUAUAGUAAACUUUUUACUAAAUGCUAAUUAAACAUAAUAUAAGUUAUAAAACUUUUGGGUGUUAAAUCAUAAUUAAGAAAACUUUUGAGUUGCAUUAGUUAAAAAAUGGGGUUUCAAAUGAAUGUGGUUGGAGGAAGUUAAAAAUAGGGUUUCAAAUGCAUUACAUUCAAGAAAAAUGUUACAUUUAUAAGUAUGUAUGAUGAUAUAGAUAUAGAUAUAGAUAUCAAUAUUGAUAGAUAUAGAUGAUAAUUCUGAUAGGGAUCCUUUUAAAGGAUUUGCAAGCCUUUCUCCAUUUGAAAAAAAAAAGGCUAAGAGUUCUUUGGCAAGAUCGAACUUUUAAGACUUUCAAUUUUUAAUAGACUAUGAAUUUUUUAAGAUCAGAAUUGUUUUGAAGUCAAAGAGGUAGUGGGAAGGAAAUGGAGGUGAUCAUUUGAAAUAGAAAUAACAUAGAGAAAAUGUUUGCUAAAAAAUAAAGAAUUUUUGUAACACACUUCAGAACUUUUAUGAAGUUAGAGAGGCGUUGGCAAGGAAAUGGAAGCGAUCGUGUGAAAUAGAAAUAGAAAAGAGAAAAUGUUUGCAAAAAAUUUAAAAUAUUUCACCAGCAUAUUCUGCUUUUUAUUCUGAUAUAACUAUUUUUCUUAAAAACUAAGAAAUUUUUGAACAACUAAAAGACAAAAAUAAAAAAAAUUUAACUCUCUAAAAUUAAAAAAUUAAAAGUUUGCUCUUAAUUGAAAAUUUAAAAUGAUAUUAAAUCGGCAUAAGUUGGCUUUUAAUAUGUGCUUAGUUGGUAUUCUUAGGGGUGUUUGGAUUAGCUUUUUAGCUUAUUGGUUAUAGCUUAUUUGUGGUGGGAAUAAGCAAUAAGCAAUAAGCAUGGGGAGUGAUGCUUAUUAAAAUUAUCUUAUUUAGCUUAUUAAGUUGGAUUUUAUCCAAACACUCAAAUUAGCUUAUUGUGGGAAUAAGCAAUAAGCACCACUUUUUUCCUAUCCCAACACCCCCUUAAUGUCAUAUCUUACAUUAUUGUUUGCUCCCUUCUACAACAUUUUACAAAAAGAUUAUCAACUAUUUGUUUUCAAAUUUUUAGAUUCCAUUGAAAAUAGAGAAAAUGACACAUUGAUCCUAAUAAAUAUUGCACAUUUGUUUAUUGAGUCCUUGAGUUAUUUCUAUGAUGUAUGAGGUAACAAACUUGUUAGUAACUUGUCAAUUUAGUCAUUAGACCUCCUGUAACCGAUUAAUAUCUCCACAUAAUUAAAUUAAAUGCCACAUAAUAAUCUAGUUGAAAAACAUCAUUGACUUCUUUCUGGGAUUUCAUCUAACGGUUUAUUUGCAUAGUUCAUCCAUGAUAUGGAGUAGGGUGAGCAUUUGGAUCGGACCGGACCGGACCAGACCAUUUUUUUGGACCCCCGGGCCGGUUCUCGGUUCUAGGAAUCCAUCCCGGUCUGGUCCGGUUUUUUUCCCGGUCUGGUCCGGUUUUUACCGGGUUUAGAACUGGUUGGACCCGGUUUAAAAAAAAAUUGUAAUUUGUGAAUUUUUUUAAACAACCAUAACACAUUCGUUUUAAGUCGGAUUGACACACGGUUUUUUCUAAUGUUUAAUUUAAAGUUUGUAGAUUAAUUUAGACUAUAAUUUUAUUGAUUUUGGUAUUAUAUUCAAUGAGUUACAGUCUCUCAAAGUUGAGCUAUCAAAGCUGAAAAAUUUCAGCUUUUCAGCAACAUUUUUAAAACUUUGUAAUCUAUGAAAAUUUUUAAACAGCCAUAACUCAUUCGUUUUAAGUCGGAUAGACACGCUGUUUUUUUUCAAAAGUUUAAUUUACAGUUUGUAGAUGAAUUUAGACUAUAAUUUUUUUGAUUUUGGUAUUAUAUUCAAUGAGUUACAGUCUUUCAAAGUUGAGCUAUCAAAACUAAAAAAAUUCAGUUUUUCAGCAAGAUUUUUAAAAUUUUGUAAUCUGUGAAACUUUUUAAACAAUCAUAACUCAUUCGUUUUAAGUCGGAUUGACCGGCGGUUUUUUCCAACAUUUAGUUUACAAUUUGUAGAUGAAUUUAGACUAUAAUUUUGUUGAUUUUGGUAUUAUAUUCAGUGAGUUACAAUCCUUCAAAGUUAAGCUAUCAAAACUGAAAUAUUUCAACUUUUUAACUAUUAUUUUAGACUAUAAUUAUGAAUUUUAUGUAUCUUUGAAAGAUAAAUCAUAUGAAAGGGAUCAUGGUGAACUUGAUUUAUAUGUUAGUUGCUUUUAUUUGGAAAAUUAAUUUUGCAAGUUAUAAUAUUCUAACAUCAAGGUAGAUUAGUUAUGCAUGAAACGGAAAUGUAAUCAUUUUUACAAGUUAUAUCGUAUCAAACUCAAUAACAUAUUCGUUUUAACGAGUUCUAUCAAACCCAAAAACAUAUUCUAACGACUUGUACUCUAUGCAUGAAACGAAAACGUAAUCAUUUUUACAAGUUAUAUCGUAUCAAACCCAAUAACAUAUUCGUUUUAAUGAGUUCUAUCAAACCCAAAAACAUAUUUUAACGACUUGUACUCUAUGCAAUUAAAGUUGUACCGGUCCAAGCGGGUCCAAGAACCGGAAAACCCGGACCUGGACCCGGACACGGACACGACUCAUCGAUCCGGUCCACGGUCCACAAUAUUAUCCAUAACCGGUCCGAUCCAAGAGCCGGUCUGGUCCGGUUCGGUACAAAUGCUCACCCCUAAUAUGGAGUGACUUGAAUCAUCACUAAUUCAGCGUAGAAGUACACCAUGUGUUCCAUUUGUUCCUAUUCCAUUCCAAAUAUCAUAAUCAUAAUCAGAACUAAAGGGUUAAAUAUCUAAGAAUCAUAAUUAAACACUCAUGUUAAUCUUCGGUGGGGUUGUGGCGACUUUGAUGAACCGAAUGAGAAACACAUACGGCGUCGGAAUGAAUAAAUUCCAUUCUAAUCGACCUAGAAUCCGCUUUUCCAUCACUAAACAUGUUGAUGUCCGUAAGCUCUAUCAGAUAUUUGAACAAAAUCGUUGACUUCCGGAGCCUAUAUUUCUUCAAUUUUGAUACAAUAAGCAUUGCACUCACUCAGACACACUCUAAUUCUCUUCUAGCAACAGUUAAAACUUCAUACAUCAAAAACAUAUAUGUAUCCAUUGUGAGUUGGUGGAAUCUGUAUCCACUAUAAUUCUCUCAUUGUUGGUAUCUUGAGCAUCACUGUCGAAGAUAUUCGUUUGUUUUGGUUUGUAGUUAAGGCAACUAUAAUUCUCUCAUUGUUGAUAUCUUGAGCAUCAAUGUCGAAGAUAUUCGUUUUUUUGGUUUGUAGUUAAGGCAACAGACAGCUUUGCUCUGGCAGUUAGUGCUGAAGUGAGUGACAAUUGAGGGUCUUUGUUUUGAGAAGAUGAAAAAGAUCCUGAUUUCUUCUCUUCUUGGUUGUCCGGACUGAUUUCGAUUACAAUUGCAUUUUCUGGCACCGAUGGUGGUUUUGGUUUGGAUGUGGCCUUCUUCUUGGCUGAUUUGACUGACAUUGGUUUCUAUAAUUAAGAUUCAGGAAGAUGAAUUGUUAAUGAAAAAAGAUUUGAUGAAAAGUUUAUGUGAAUAAUCGAUUAAAAAAAUUGGAGAAAACUUUCACCUUUUUGUUUUCAGCUGCGUCUUGUUGGGAGAAUUGAGAGACGAGGAGGAGGAGGAGGAAGAUUUUGACUUUUCAAAGUCAUUGUUAAUAGAAAAUAGGUUAAUGUCUAUGUGGCAAAUGGGUAACCGGAUUACCUUUUUCAUUUUGUCCAAAGUGAUCAAAUUGACCCGAACAAAACGAAUUUAAUGGUCUAGAAAGCACGGAAAUACUUAAGGGGCUGAAUUGACAAAUAUACAAAACAUCAGAGGGCGAAAUUGUCAUUUUCCUUUCAAAAUAAUAUUGGAAAACUAAUACGACUGUUGUGCAUGUUUAUGUAAAGUAGUUGUUGAUAUUUUCUUGUACUUCUUAUCUAUUCAAGUUUAUCAAAGUUAUAAUCACAUAGAAGAUUUUAUUCGAACAUAUUUCGAAUAGUUUAUAAGAUAAUAUACAAAUUUUAAAUUUUAUAACUCGAAACGUAUAAAUCAGUACAAAUGAGUUAAAUAUUUAUUACUUUAUAUGAAGUUUAUGGUGCACCGCACAUAUGGAAAGUAGUUGGGUAUGGUUGGAGGUGAUACGAAAUCCAUCCACACCAAUCUUGCCAUGCAACAAAGACAUGACUUAAUGGACAAAUAAAAUAUCCCAAUUUUCAAACCUAAAUCAUCUGUGAUAUUGUCAGGCUGACCCACGGUGGCACCGUCAUCAAUGGUGGAGGAGCCGCCGUCUAUUAAUAAUACUUAAUUAAUAAGCCCUCUUCCACUCGUUCUUUUACUUAAAAGAAAACAAACUUUGUGUGAAUAAUCACAAGAAUAAAUAAAGAAAAUAUACAACAAAUAAAUAAUAUAUGAGUUUAAUUAUAUCAAGUUUUAAGAAUAUAACUAUGCUUUCAAAGACAAAAUGAGAUAUAGACAUUGAAUAGAAGUCGUUGACUAAACAUUGCAAUCGAACUUAAUCCCUAUAUGACAAAUGGCACUUCGCUUUUAUAACUAUUUUGGGAUUAAUUUAUAUUUGCUUUUAACAAGUUACUAUAAAAAAUGGUAUUUUAUCAUUACUCAUUUUUAGACAAAACCGUAAACAUGAGUGUGGUAUAUUAAAAAUUAUCACUUUAAUCCAAAACCAUUUAGAAUAAUAUCAAGGUCCAAAAUUUUAUUUUGUUGUAUUUUUAAUCUAAUUUAGUGGCUGGCUAAACAUUGCAAUCAAACUUAAUCCCAAUAUGACAAAUGGCACUAUAGUUGUUAUAAAUAUUUUUGUAUAAAUAAAAUGGUAUUUUACUAUUACACAUUUUUAAUUAAGAAAAAACUGCAAAUAUAGUAUUUGUUGAAAAUUAUCACUUUCAUCCUAAAAUAUUUUGAGUAAUAUUAAUGGUCCGAAACUUUUAUUUUGUUGUAUUUUUUAUCCAAUUUAUUUUUUAAUUUUUUACAUUGACGAUUUUGCCCUUAUUUUUUUCAACUUGUUUAUUUAAAUUUUUUUGAAUAAAAGAAAAAUAAUAAACAAAAAUGAAAUAUCUCUCUCUUUCUCUCUCUCAAAAAAUAAAAAAAACAAAACAAAAAAACUAAAAUACCCUCCUUCUUCCCCGUCUCUCNAUAUAUAUAUAUAUAACAUUUAAACUUAUCUCUAUAUAGGCUUAGGUUAUUUUGUUUUUACAAACUAUUAUAUGUCAGAAUGCAUAGAUCAGGACCAACGGAUUAAAUUAAUCAAUGGACAUGAUUUGAGGGUGUAUGAUAUUACAAUGGGAUAACAUGUACCAUAUAAUCACAUAAAUUUUAGCAAAAGAGUAUUUUGGACAACUAACUACAUUUAUAAAAGGAAAUUUUCGGAUUUUUAGGGAUAAUUAAUUCUCCUAAUUUUAAAAAUCUAAAAUUUUUUAAUUAAUUUAAUUUUAAUUCUAACGUAAUUUGUAUACAUAACCGAUUUUAUUCUGUCAGAAUAUUUUUUUUUUGUUAGAAUGGUGUUCUUUCAGAAUUUUAUUCUAUUAUAGUAUUAUUGAAAAAUAACAACAUUCUUGAAUCCGAGGUUGAAAAAUAACAACAUUCUAAUAUAUUCUUAUACAUCCGAACUUAAAUACAAAUUCAUACAUAUUCUUACAGAUUAAAAGUCUUAUACAUUUUAAUAUAAUUAUACAUAUUCUAAAGAAUAUCAACAAAAAUGAAUAAAAUUCUUAAAAAAUAACAAUAUUCUAAAAUUGUGAGUAUGAUCAAACUUUAUUCAUUCUUCAAGUUAUUCCUAUUAGAUCUUCAACGCAUUCUUCCAUCCAUUCUAUCACAAAAUACAACAAAAACUAAUAAUGAUUAAAAACAUAUUACUUGCAAUUAACUAUCACUUUAUAUAUUCUAGUAGAAUACAUACAAUAUGACAGAAUACAUAAAAAAAUAAUAAUAGGCAAUCCAAGAGAAAUAUCUAUUACAAAAACAAAUANACUAUAAUUUUGGGAUGGAAGGAGUAAUAAAAUAAAAUAAUAAUAAUAAUAAUAAUAAUAAUAAUAAUAAUAAUAAUAAUAAUAAUAAUAAUAAUAAUAAUAAUAAUAAUAAUAGGCAAUCCAAGAGAAACAUCUAUUACAAAAUAAUAAUAAUAAUAAUAAUAAUAAUAAUAAAAGAUUAACAGGUACACAAAGAUUCUAAAAGAAUCUUUAAAUAUAAAGUGUACUUACCAUUUAAUUCUGAUAGAAUAUAUAUGCAAUUACCAUUUAUAGCAUCAUACAAUUACCCAUUACUAUUGUGUAACCAAAAUAUAUUAUAAAAUUUUUAAAAAACAUUCUUAAAGAAUCAUUAAUCCUUAAGUGUGAUUAUCAUUUUAAAUUCUAACCGAAUGUAUUCUAACAUAAUACACUAUACAAAGCAUAAUGUAUUCUUACAAAAUCUACUAUAUUGUGUAUUUGAUUUUCCUAAAAAAUCAGUAUUAUUGUAGAAUACAUUGUAUAAUAGUUUCUAACAUAAUACAUUAUACAAAGUAUAAUGUGUUCUUACAGCACCAAUUGGGUUUUCUUAAUGUGUUCAACAAAUUAAAACAAAAAUAACAAAUAAUUGUGUUUAGUAUAAUUGAUAAAAUAAAAAAUUACCUUGCUCAGUGAAACGAAAUUGUUGAAUUGAGAGUAAAAUCAAAUCAAUCUAUAUUAAUGAAUAAUCGAUCCACCAAGCAUUACCUAUUAAAUGGGAAAAUGAAUGUCACCAGUUGAUUAUUUAGAUUCGUUGAAUUCCAUACAACAUCAUUAUUUGUAAUCUUGGUGUACACAAAAGAUGAAAUAUAAUAAACAUAAAUGUGCAAUGUACUGGCCUAAACAAAACAAUUUAUAAAUUCUAUGUUUCACAUACGUUGAGAUUUAAUAUAGACUAUAUAUUGGGCACCUGAAAAGUCCAUUCCCAUACGUGUCAAUCUGUCGCCGGUGAGCACUUUCCGGUUUCUCCACUGCCAGUCAAAAGUCAAAAUAGACAUAGGCCUCUUCCAUCUAUCUCUGUCGAUUUAGAGUGGGAUUGCUCUGAAGAAAGAUAGGGUCUCCCUUUUUUCUUAUUCAAUUGAUAGUUAGUUUUCCGGUAAUGCCCCAUCUAAGAGCCUAUUCGUCGUAAGCCCUUAUAGAGUCAUAACCUAAUCUAAUCCAUAAUCAGGCUUAAGACAUGCAACCAACCUCUUCUUAGAUUCAGAAAGGGGCAGCCAAAGCAGGGACUUAUAAACUAGCAUCAGAUUCUGGACAUAUUCCUGCUACUAUAAGAUCCUUUACUCGUAAAUAAACUAUGGCAGUUCCUUUAGCAGCUCCCUCCGGGCCCGCAAAGAUAAGAGAAGAGCAGAUUCUUCCCAUCUAUGAAUCCAAACCUCCCGAGCAGCUGUAAGAACGGGUUUCGUUCUAGUGUNAUAUUUAUAGCCUUUUUUUUAUAUAAACCUGUUUAUUCAUCUUUUCAAAAUUUGGAGUUCCUUAAUACAUUUGUUAAAAUGGGUCCUAAUAGAAUUUUUUAUGACAAAAUAAAAAAUUCUAUAUAUGAUUGGUCAUAUAAUCGGGGUUACAUAGAUGCCUUUUAUGGAAGAUUCUUAACUGCGGGGAUUAGAAAAUUGGCCAACUUUGCUCAUUUUUUUGAUAGACGAAUAAUUGAUGCAAUUCCAAAUGGAGUUGGUCUUAUGAGUUUCUUUGGAGCAGAGGUUAUUAAAUCGGUAGGGGGUGGGCGUAUUUCUUCUUAUCUGUUCUUUUAUUUUUCUUAUGUAGCAAUUUUUUUAUUAAUUUACAAUUUUUUCAAUGUUUGAACCUUGUUGACUAAUCUCGCUAACAUUGAACUUGGUAAAAUGACCCUACCUGCCAACGCGCGGAUAGAUAGGGCGGGCGAAGCCCGAAGGGGAUGGAUGUCUGAGCGGUUGAAAGAGUCCGUCUUGAAAACCGAAGUAUUGAUAGGAAUACCGGGGGUUCGAAUCCCUCUCCUCCGCGAGGUCAUAAGUUCUCUCUUGCGUUAUCUUUAGAUAAGAACGAAUCGGAUCAACUCGACUGAUAUGAUAGAUUGAAUGGUAGCUUGUUUUAUGAUUUAGUUAGGACUCUGUCUCCCUUUCGUGAUCUUCCGCCCUCCGGUUGGGGAAGGUCCGGAAAGCCCUCACUCCCCCUUUUUCAAAAAGAAGCCCCGCUCAACAAGGGGCCCUCUCUGAUAAGGAAGAAAACGAAAGAAUCUCAAUUUUACGAAAAAUCCGGUCCGAUGGUUGUUCU
Molecule: long non-coding RNA, 44234 nt
Filed under: Lactuca sativa (garden lettuce)
Lineage: Eukaryota; Viridiplantae; Streptophyta; Magnoliopsida; Asterales; Asteraceae
Description: long non-coding RNA (LSAT_LNC002486)
Rfam family: tRNA (bases 43877-43962)
Source: RNAcentral